This 67000-nucleotide long non-coding RNA is filed under the name Gossypium barbadense (sea-island cotton). Its description in RNAcentral is "long non-coding RNA (GBAR_LNC022896)". Lineage: Eukaryota; Viridiplantae; Streptophyta; Magnoliopsida; Malvales; Malvaceae. The record is from RNAcentral.
UGUUGGCUUGUAUUUCUCUCUAACAAUUUAAAUCACCAGCUUGCUUCAUCCAUCUAUAAAUAAGGGUCUUCUUCAGUUUCAUAAAUGCAUAGAAAAUUAACAAGCUCAAAUUCCUUCUUUUCAUAUUCAUCUCUUUCAUUUUGAAUUGCAACUUUAUCCUGCCUAAAUUCCUCAACAAUGAACCACCCAUCAGGACAGCCUCAAAAUGAACUUCCUUGGUCCGCCGGAUUCUGAGAUUGUUGCUCUGACCUGAAAACUUGUAACCCUUUCUUCUUUCUUCAAUAUCAGUUGUGUCUUUUUAAUUAUAUGAAUUAGUUUAUCAAUUAAAUAUAUGGACAUUUCAGGUUGCAUUUCAUACUGGUGCCCAUGCAUCACCUUUGGCCAGAUUGCUGAGAUUGUUGAUAAAGGGUCGACUUGUAAGUUAUUAAUUUCUAAAUUGAAAUCUUAUCAUCUUAGGUUUGCAGACAUAUAUAUAUAUAUUUAAAGAGAUAUUAUGUAAUUAAUAAUAAUGUUGAAAAACACUGUUGGAUGGUGCAGCAUGUGGGGCAAGUGGGGCACUAUACACAUUAAUAAUGUUCAUCACCGGGUGUGGGUGCUUAUAUUCUUGCUGCUACCGAUCCAAACUGAGAAAGCAGUAUAACUUGAAAGGAGGCGAUUGUGGCGAUUGCAUGCGUCAUUUCUGCUGCGAGCCUUGUGCCUUGACACAAGAGUAUCGUGAGCUCCAGAACCGUGGAUUCGACAUGUCUAUCGGUAUGUCUACAUACCAAUAUUAUACCCCUUUUAAUUAUUCUUAAUAUAACUUCAAGUAUAUUAAUUGAGUAGCUGUAAACAAAUAUCUCCGAAUAAAUAUGUUGGUAAUGAUGAGAUAAAUUAUUGUUUGAGGUCAUUAAUUUUGUGGGGGUAUAUUUAUAUAUGCAGGUUGGCAUGCAAAUGUGGAGAAGAACCCAGGGCUGGCAAUGGCUCCAGCGGUAGAAAAAGGCAUGAGCAAAUAGAUGAUGAUGAUGAUGAGACCACUGCAUUAAUAUCAUCUUUACAUGUAACACUUAAUUCCUUGGCUUUCCAUAAUUGGUUGAUUGUACGGCUUGCCAAUUGAAUUUCAAGUUAUGUAUGUUUGUGAUUGUCAAAUAUAUUAAUAAAAAGUGUUACUAUUCAUGUUAGAUCUUCAUGAAUAAGAAUGAGAAUCGAAAAUAACUUGUAAUAUUGUGUGUGCAUGUUUGGUAUUUAGGUGAAAUACUUAGAAAGAGAGGUUGGAUUAAAUUAAUUUUUUAUUAUCAAAAUGGAUGAUUUUAAUUUUUAUAUUAAUAAAAAGAAUUAAAUAAAAUUAAUAUUUAUUGUUUUAGAAAAUGACAUCAAAUUAUUGUUUUUUAUAGUUCAAUCCAAAUAAAAUAUCUACAAAAUCAUUAAAAACUUUUAAAAUGUGACUUUGUUAAAUAGUAAAUAGCAUUUUUUUAAAAGGGUUCAUAUAUAUCGUGAUACCUAAAGUUGGCAACUUCUACUUAGUAUCUAAAUCGGUACAUAAACUUGAAAAUUGUAAGUCAACUUCGUAUUUUUAUAAGUAUGAUGAUGUUGGUGUAGUGUGAGGAAGAAGACUUGAAUGGGUUUGAUUAUUUUUAAUAAUACAGGAAUUUACAUAUUAUAAGUAAAUAGACACUCACAUUCUUUAUGUAUUAUAAGGAAGAAGACUAAGUCGAUCUACUUUGUAAUCUCAUCAAUCUUAAUUUUCUCAAUUGUUAAGGGAGUUCAAAUGAAAUACAAAAUUUUGGUAAAAAAAAGUAUCCAAUUUUGUGAAUAAAAAAUAUAUGGUAAAAAAGAUUUGGUAUCGAUACUUCGGCGCGGGUAUCAAUACUCGAUACAUUGCUUUUGGUUGGAAAGUAGUGUCUGGAACGGCCAUGGGAUGUGUUGUUUUCCAAACCGGUAAGGCGAAAAGGUUUGUGAAUUUGGUUGAAGACCAACAUGAGAAGAGGCGAAGAAGAAAACCAAAAUAUAGCAAUCGCAUCAAUGGAUGAAGAAGGAUCUAGUUGGUGCAAAUGAAGUUAAAGCAUUUGUGCUGUGUCUUCAUAAUUUCUUGUUUAGUAGUCUGUCAGAAAGUUUUUCCUAUGGUGAAAAGUUGCAUUGGUAUGUGUCUGUCUUUAUGAUUGUACCAAUUCCUCUGUAUUUCAUUGCAUUUCGUACUAUUUGUAAGGGUUUAGUUCGAGUGUAACAUCUUGUAUGGUGCAACUAUGUAUGUCUUCUUUCUUGAUUAUUGAAAUUAUAAUCAAAAUUAAUACAUGUUCUUUUUAUUAGCUUAAGGGCGUAAAAACACUUCAAAAUUUUCAAAAAAUAAAAUAAAAUUUUAAGUCCCUCUUUUUUUUACACUCAAUUGAAAUUUUUAAAAUGUAUCAAAAAUAUCUUUACAGUUCUUCAAAAAAAAAAACAAUUAAACCCCUAUUUUUUUUCCGCUCAAUUGGGUACUUGAACUUUCAUAAUGCAUCAAAAAUGCCUUAAAUUUUUUUCAAAAAAGCAAUUAAGCCCCUACUCUUAUUAAAAAUUAGAAAAAAAUCAUAAAAAUAAUAAAUUUUAGAAAAAAUUAUUAAAUUUUAAUAAAAAUUUAAAAUUUUAUUAAAAAUUAGAAUUUUUUUUUAGAAAAAUCGUCAAAAAAUAAAAAAUUAUAAAAUCCAUCAAAAAGUUUUAACAAUUAACUUUAACUAUUGAUCGUUAAAGUUAACGACCUCUAGUUUUUUCAAUUAAAGUCAUUAUGUGUCGCAACUCAACGUGACAUGUAGCGAAAAUAGAUAAAAAAGUAAAAAUCAAUAAAAGUUAUAGAAAAAUUAUAAAAUAUUUCUUUUGGUAGAAUAAUUUUUAUAAAUUUUUUUUACAAAAUUUAUAUUUCUUUACAUUUUGUAUAAUUUUCUUAUAACUUUAUAAAAUUUUAUAAAUUUUUAUAUUUCUAUAUAUUUUAAAAUUUUUUAAAAUUUUUAUAAAAUUUUACAAUUUUUAUAUAUUUUUAAUAAAUUUUUAAUAUUUGAUUUUUUAUUAAAAUUUAAUAAUAUUAUAGAUUUUAUUGAUUUUAAUUUUUUAUCUAAUUUUUAAUAAAAUUAGGGGGUUAAUUGCUUUUUUUUUAAGUUUGAGGGUCUUUUUGAUGCAUUUUGAAAGUUCAAGUACCCAAUUGACUGCAAAACAAAAAGAAAAAAAGUAGGGGCUUAAUUGCUUUUUUUGAAAAUGUUUGAGGGCUUUUUUGAUGUAUUUUGAAAGUUCAAGUACCCAAAUGAGUGCAUAAAAAGAACAGGGGUUUAGUUGCUAUUUUGAAAAAGUUUGAGGGCUUUUUGCACCUUUAAACCUCUUUUCUUUUUCUAAAUUUAAUUUAGAACCAACUUUGUGUAAAGACUUGGGAAAUUUAAUUAGCAAAAUUUCUUUCCAUGUAAAAAUUUCCCCUAUUUCUUGUUUGAAUUUAAAGCAAUACAAUAUUUUUCUAGCAAAUAAUAGAAAAUGACAGUCAAUUAAUUCCAGCAAUACAAAAUUUCCAGUCUGGUGGAAAACAGCUAGGGACCAAAUUUUUAAAGUGUUGUUUACUACACACUUAGGGACCAUAUAUGUAUAUAUAUAUAUUCCAGUCUGGGUCUUUGUCGUGUUUUGUUGGUUGGCUAUGGCCUUCUUGUUGUUUCAUGGCCACUGCCCGUGAAUUAAGUCAUAUGUGGCCUUGUUUGCUAGACCUUAGUUGCUAAGUUAAAGGGAGUGAAUAGAGCACCAUAUUUCUUCUUCUGCGUGGAAAAUAAGUUGGCAUUAUGCCAAAUUCCACAUUCAUACAUAGAAAGGAAGCAAGGCCAAGUCAUUAUACUUUGUAAUCUCAUCAAUUCUAAUUAUUUCACUUCUUCAUUCUUUAGGGAGUUCAAGUGAAAUACAAAUUUUUCCACAUCCAAUCUCAUAAAUAAUCCGUCUUUGAACUUUCACAAAAAAAUAUUAAAUACCCAUUCACUUUAAUUCUACUAUUCUUAAAUCAUUCAAGUUUUGUGGAAAAUAUGCUUCUUGGAUAAAAUUAUUCAACACACAUGCCUUGAAUUUUAUGCAAUAAAAUAAAUCAAUAUAGGCCACACAUGCUUUGAAUAUUUAAGUAGUCCACAAUUUUGUUCGUUUGUGUGCAAAAUUCUACAUUGCUUGACAGCCAUACAUUCUAAGUAAAUAGACACCCACAUUGUUUACGUAUUAUGAAGAAGAAGACUAAGUCAGUCUACUUUGUAAUCUCAUCAAUCUUAAUUUUCUCAGUUAUUUAGGGAGUUCAAAUGAAAUACAAAAUUUUGGGAAAAAAAAUGUAUCCAAUUUUGUGAAUGAAAAAUAUAUGGUAAAAAGGAUUUGGUAUGGAUACUUCGGCUCGGGUAUCAAUACUCAGGGUAAGUUUAUCGAUACAUUGCUUUUGGUUGGAAAGUGGUGUUGAUAGGUGAUGACUAAAAUUUGAUAAAUUUGAAAAGUACAUGAAAUUUAACGAUUAUUGUUUGGUGAUGACUAAAAUUUUAAAAUUUGAAAAGUACAUGAACUAAAAAUGACCAAAUUAAAGUAUAAAGAUUAAGUCCACAACUUUUGCAAAGUACAAGGACUAAUAGCAGAAAUUAACCUAAAUUUCAUAUGGGUCAAUUACAAAAAUAAUCGCUAAACUAUUCCUUUGGUUCUAUUCUAGUCACUCAACUAUAGAGGUGCUCAUGGGCUGAGCCAGGUCAAGCCUAAGUAUGAUAUUAAUGUAUUUUAUACUUGCUCAAGCUUGGCUCGGCCUGAAAUAUGAGCUUAAAAUUUUGCCUGAACUCAUCCAUAUUUGCAAAAGACUAACCCAAGCUCAUUUUAAGCAUGCCUAUAUAAUUUUUAAUUUUUUUUAAAUAUUUAUAUUAUAUUAUAUUAAUUAAUAAUUUAAACAUUUUUUAUUUAUUAAAAUUUUUUAUAGUCAUUUUAACAUUAUUUUAAUGUUUACAUUAUAGUAUUAUUAUAUAUUUAGUAUAAGUAUUUUUUUAAUAUGUUCUAAUUUAUAUAAUAUAAAGUAUUAUACACUUAAAAACGGGCCGGGCUGGGCUUGAGCUUUAGUUGUUACUCAACUAUUAAUUUUUUCGAUUUAGUUGUUAACCUUUUCAAAAGUAAAUAUUUUAGUCAGUCUCCUAUUAGUUGUUGUUAAAUGAGUGACGGAAAGCUAAUGUGAGCUUUUUUUAUUAGUCUAAUAACAAAUUUAGCCCUCCAAUGUUUACACAUUCUAUCAAUUUGAUCGUAAAUAUAAAAAAAAAAUCAACAAAUUUAGCCCUGAAUAUUAACAAAACUUGUCAUUUUAGUUCAAAUUCUAAAAAAUUUAAUAAAUUUAACCUUUAAUAUUUUCAAAAAAAUAGCAAUUUAGUUCUAAUUCUAAAAAUUUUAAUAUAUAUAUUUAAAAAAAUAUUUCUAAUCCUCUGUCUCACCCUUUGAUUUUUUAGAUGAUCUAAAAUCAAAAUAUAUCAUUAUGUCUUUUUGUUUUAAUGCUAAAAGAGAUAAAAAAAAAUGGAAAGCUAAAAUGGCUUUUCGUUUGUGAAGUUAAAAAAUGCCAAAUAAAUUAUUAUGUCUUUUUAGUUUUAAUUUUUUACUUGAUUAAAAGAGAAAUAAUUAACGAAUGAAAAAUAAUUAUUCACAAAUAAAUUUAUCAGAAUUUAUAACAAAUGAGAUUUUAAAUUUGAAUUUAUAAAUCAAAAUUUAUAUAUAUAUAUAUAUAUAUAAAAGAAAACACAUUUUUAUGAAAUAUAAGAUUUUGUUAAAAGAAAGAGCAUAUAAAAGCAUACACGUUUUUAUGAAAUACAAGAUUUUGCUAAAAGAAAAAGCAUCCAAUUUUAAGAAUGAAAAAUAUAUGGUAAAAGCAUCCAUAACUUUUCAAUAUAAAAGAAAAAAAAGACUAACACCAAUGUUGUGGUAUUAUUUGUUGCCUAUAAAUACCAUUCCUAUCCUUCUUCUUCCUCUACAAACAUAACAUGGCCCCCUAUCUCUUUCUCUGCCUAUUCCUCUUCUUUCCCCAUCUUUAUGCUUCUUUUUCUUCUUCAGAAUCUCACUCCUGCUCUUCACUAAUCCAGUUUAAGGACUCUUUUUCCAUCACAAAGGAUGCUUCCUGGUAUUUCGAUUAUAUUACUGGCCUUAAAUCUUAUCCCAAGACAAAUUCAUGGAAGGAGGGUACAGAUUGCUGCUCAUGGGAUGGGGUCACUUGUGACCACCUAAAUGCUCAUGUUAUUGCCCUUGACUUGAGCUGCAGUUGGCUAUAUGGCACCUUCCCUUCCAAUACCACUCUCUUCCUUCUUCCUCACCUUCAAAAACUCAACCUUGCCUACAAUCAUUUUAAUUCUUCCAAAAUUCCAUCCGAGUUCGGUCGGUUUACAAGCCUAUUCUACCUCAACCUUUCCAAUACAUGGUUUUCAGAAGUCCCAUCCCAAGUCUCCCACCUGUCAAAAUUGGUUUCACUUGAUCUCUCCUCUCGGAUUGAUUACUCUGGGCAAGUUACAAUUGACAAACAUGCUCUGGAGGGACUUGUUCACAACCUAACCGAGGUCAGACAUCUGUUUUUGGAUGGAAUCAACAUGACUUCUGUUAAUGCUCAUGUCUUCAUGAAUCUAUCCUCUUCUCUAAGGUCUCUCAGUCUUGCUUUUUGUGAUUUGCAAGGAAAAUUCCCAAAAAACAUUUUUGAUUUGCAAAACCUCAAUCUCCUCAACUUGAGAUACAACCAAUUGAGUGGACAAAUUCCAAGAUCAUUGGGGAACCUCUUGCAACUCACUCAUUUACACUUGUCGGGGAACCAAUUGAGUGGACAAAUUCCAUUGUCAAUUCUAAACCUAACGCAGUUGGAAUACUUGGAAAUAUCUGAAAAUUCUUUAGAAGGUUCCAUUCCAGAUGAGGUAACCGCUUUUCCUAAUCUAAUAUAUUUAUACUUAUCUGACAAUUUACUCAAUGGAACACUUCCGUCAUGGUUGUAUACUGCUCCCUGCUUAAAGGAAAUAUAUCUCUCUCAAAAUCAAUUCAGUGGGCAUAUCAAAGAAUUCCAAACCAAAUCACUAGAAUAUUUAUAUCUAGAAAAUAAUAAACUCCAAGGUCCCCUUCCAUCUUCAAUAUUCCAACUUCUCAAUCUUACCGGGCUCCUUUUAUCCUCAAAUAAUCUUAGUGGUGUCAUAGAGUUGAGCAUGUUCUCAAACCUUCCAAAUCUCAAAUAUCUUGACCUUUCAUAUAACAGCCUAUCCUUAAUAUCUAAUACUACUUCUACUGUUAAUCAUAUAUUGCCUAAUCUUACAGGCUUACAUUUGUCAUCUUGCAAUCUUAGUGAAUUCCCCCAAUUUUUGAAAGGGCUUAAAAGUUUGGAAAGCUUAGACCUCUCUUGCAACAAAAUUGAAGGCAAGAUUCCACAGUGGAUGCAAGAGGUGGGGAAUGUCUCUUUGACUUACUUCAACGUAUCUCACAACUCUUUGACAGAAGUUGAGCACUUUCCAUGGAAGAAUAUUGAUGUUCUUGACUUAAGCUCCAAUUUGAUCAGUGGAAAUCUUCCGAUUCCAGCUUCGACGAUCAGAGUCUUUCUGAUCUCAAAUAAUAGUUUCAAUGGAGAGGUCUCUUCUUUAAUAUGCAAUGCCAGUUCUCUUCAAAUUCUUGAUUUGUCCCACAAUAACUUGAGUGGAACAAUUCCGCAAUGUUUCGGAAAUUUGAGCGACAGCCUUGAAUUCUUGAAUCUGAAGAAGAACAAGUUUUAUGGGACGAUUCCUCCAACAUUUGCAGAGGGAUGCCAGUUGACUAAUUUCAACUUAAAUGGAAAUCUGUUAGAAGGGCCUUUGACACCAUCCAUCCUUAAUUGUAGAGGUCUGGAAGUGCUAGAUCUUGGUAACAACAAGAUCAAUGAUACAUUUCCUCAUUGGUUGGGAAAUCUUCCAUAUUUGCAAGUUCUUGUAUUGAAGUCAAAUCAUAUGCAUGGUUCUUUGCGUGUCAAUAGCUCCAAGUCUAGCCCCUUUUUCUCUAAAAUCCAAAUUUUUGACCUCUCAAGUAAUUAUUUUUCUGGACCCCUACCUGUGAGGUACAUCAACAGCUUCAAGGCUAUCAGAAAUCUAGAGAAGAUUCGUAGUACAGUGUCGUACAUGGGGGUGAAUGGUCGGAAUGGUAGUGGCUUCUAUACCUAUUCCAUUGGAAUUGUUAUGAAAGGACAAGAUAUGGAAUUGGUGAAAAUUUUCACCAUGUGGAUGAUCAUUGAUCUAUCAAACAAUCAGUUUGAAGGGGGUAUUCCAGAGGUUUUUGGAAAGCUUAACUUACUGAAAGGGCUCAACCUUUCUCAUAAUAACCUUAGUGGUGGUAUCCCCACCUCAAUAGGGAAUUUGACAAGUCUUGAAUGGUUGGACCUAUCUUCAAACAGGUUGUCUGGGACGAUUCCAAAUAGAUUGGCAGAUCUGGCAUUUCUUUCGUCCUUCAAUGUUUCUGAAAAUCAACUCCAUGGUCAGAUUCCUCAAGGAAAACAAUUCAACACAUUUGGAAAUGAUUCAUAUCAAGGGAAUAAGGGACUAUGCGGGUUUCCAGUCUCGAAAGGUUGCAACAUCAUUGAGCCAGCACCUCCAAAUGUGCUUGAAAAAGAUGGCUCAAAAUCAAACAUUACUUUUGGUUGGAAAGUGGUGUUGAUAGGUUAUGGAUGCGGAGUGGUGUUCGGAAUGUCCGUGGGAUAUGUUGUUUUCCAAACUGGUAAGCCGAAAUGGUUGGUGAAUUUGGUUGAAAUCCAACAUGAGAAGAUGCGAAGAAGAAAGUCAAAGGAUGGCAGUCGCAGCAAUGGACGAAGAAGGAUCUAGUUAGUGGAAAUGGUGUUCAAGUGUUGAUGUUGUAUCUUCAUAAUUUCUUGUUUUGAAGUCUUUCAAUUUUUUUCCUAUGGUGAAAGGUUGCAUUGCCAUGCAUCUGUCUUUAUUAUUGUAACAAUUCAUCUAUAUUUCAUUGCAUUACGUCCUAUAACAUUUUGUAUGGUUCAACCAUUUAUAUCUUCUUUCAUGACUUCCAUUUUUGAGUCUCAAUAAUCUCUGCAUUCAAGAUUUUGUCAGCUUAUUAAUUGGUGGAUCAAUAAUCUUCAUGCUCAUCUCAUCAUCUUUUUCUCGAGUUUCUUCUGUGUGGAAAAUAAUUUGACAUUCUGCAAAUUUCCACAAUGCUUGUGGAUUACCUUUGGUUAACAGCUAUACAUAUAAAGGAAGAAAACAAGACCAUGUCCAAAUUUCCAAAAAUUAGCCAUUGAUUUUUGAACAGUUAAACUUUCGUAUUCUAUUUUUUAAAAUUGUAAAUUCUCAAAUAAUGUAAAUUAGUCCUAAAACUCAAGUUUUGAAAUCUUUACAAUUUAACCCCUUAUAGUUUCAAACUUUACUGUUUUAUACUCAACUUUCUAAAUUUUCAUAUUUCAUGAUCAUAUAAUUUAGUUACUACAUCAAUAUUUGAGAUUUCACUACUCAAACCCUUACUUCAUUUCGGUCGUUACUUCAAUUUUAUCAAAUUACAUCAUUUUUCAAUUUGAAUGCAUUGAUGUGAAAUUGAGGGACCACUAAACAAUGUUGAUGAGAGUUUAGGCAAAAUUGGUGGAUCCGAUCUCCUUAGUAAUUUCUUUGUGGAAGUACCUACUUUCACAAUGCAAACUUGGAUAGUUUGUGGUGGACGAUGAUGAAUCAUUUCACAGUCAAACACAUAAUUUUUAAACACAAAAUUAACGAUAUAUUGAAAUCAUUAUUGAAAUUAUAAUCAAAAUUAAUACAUGUUCUUUUUAUUAGCUUAAGGGCGUAAAAACCCUUCAAAAUUUUCAAAAAAAAAAAAUUUAAGUCCUUUUUUUCUACUCAAUUGAGCACUUAAACUUUUAAAAUGUAUCAAAAAUAUCUUUACACUUCUUCAAAAAAAGCAAUUAAACCCCUUUUUUUUCCGCUCAAUUGGGUACUUGAACUUUCAUAAUGCAUAAAAAAAACCUUAAAUUUUUUUUCAAAGAAACAAUUAAGCCUCUAUUUUUUUCCCACUCAAUUGGGUACUUGAACUUUCAUAAUGCAUCAAAAAGGCCUUUAUUUUUUUUCAAAAAAGCAAUUAAGCCCCUACUCUUAUUAAAAAUUAGAAAAAAUCAUAAAAAUAAUAAAGUUCAAGUACCCAAUUGAGUGCCAAAAAAUAAAGUAGGGGCCUAAUUGCUUUUUUUGAAAAUGUUUGAGGGUCUUUUUGAUGUAUUUUGAAAGUUCAAGUACCCAAAUGAGUGCAUAAAAAGAACAGGGGUUUAGUUGCUAUUUUUGAAAAAGUUUGCACCCUUAAACCUCUUUUCUUUUUCUUUUUCAUAUGUGGCCUUGUUUGCUACAACUUAGUUGCUAAGUUAAAGGGAGUGAAUAGAGCACCAUUUUCUUCUUCUGCGUGGAAAAUUAAGUUGGCAUUAUGCCAAUUUCCACAUUCAUACAUACAAAGGAAGCAAGAGCAAGUCAAUAUACUUUGUAAUCUCAUCAAUUCUAAUUUUUAAAGUGUUGUUUACUACACACUUAGGGACCAUAUAUGUAUAUAUACAUUGCAGUCUGGGUCUUUGUCGUGUUUUGUUGGUUGGCUAUGGCCUUCUUGUUGUUUCCACUGUCUGCGGUGUUUGUUUCUAAGUCAUAUGUGGCCCUGUUUGCUACAACUUAGUUGCUAAGUUAAAGGGAGUGAAUAGAGCACCAUUUUCUUCUUCUGCGUGGAAAAUAAGUUGGCAUUAUGCCAAAUUCCACAUUCAUACAUAUAAAGGAAGCAAGACCAAGUCAAUAUACUUUCUAAUCUCAUCACUUCUUCUUUCUUUAGGGAGUUCAAGUGAAAUACAAAUUUUUUCACAUCCAAUCUCAUAAAUAAUCCGUCUUUGAACUUUCACCAAAAAAUAUUAAAUACCCAUUCACUUCAAUUCUACUAUUCUUAAAUCAUUAAAGUUUUGUGGAAAAUAUGCUUCUUGGAUAAAAUUAUUCAACACACAUGCCUUGAAUUUUAUGCAAAUAAAAUAAAUGAAUAUAGGCCACACAUGCUUUGAAUUUUUAAGUAGUCCAUAAUUUUGUUCGUUUGUGUGCAAAAUUCUACAUUGCUUGACAGCCAUACAUACUAAGUAAAUAGACACCCACAUUGUUUACAUAUUAUGAGGAAGAAGACCAAGUCAAUCUACUUUGUAAUCUCAUCAAUCUUAAUUUUUUCAGUUGUUUAGGGAGUUCAAAUGAAAUACAAAAUUUUGAAAAAAAAAUGUAUCCAAUUUUGUGAAUGAAAAAUUUAUGGUAAAAAGGAUUUGGUAUGGAUACUUCAGCCCGGGUAGCAAUACUCAGGGUAAGUUUAUCAAUACAUUGCUUUUGGUUGGAAAGUGGUGUUGAUAGGUUAUGGAUGCGGGGUAGUGUUUGGAAUGGCCAAAAUAUAGCAAUCGCAUCAGUGGAUGAAGAAGGAUCUAGUUGGUGCAAAUGAAGUUAAAGCAUUUCUGCCGUCUCUUCAUAAUUUCUUGUUUGGUAGUCUGUCAGAAAGUUUUUCCUAUGGUGAAAAGUUUGAGUUGCAUUUAUAAAAUUUCCACUGUCAAAAGAUUCGAUUGCACUGCAGGGUAACAUAUUUAAGAUUGGAUUACACUGUCAAAAGAUUGCAGCAACGAUGAGAUUAAUCCAAUUACAGGAAUUGGUAUCCUAAAUGGCUUUUUGGUACGUAGCUUCAUUGACGGUACAAACUAGUUAAAAUUUCCAGCAUUCAUGUGUUUGUUUUCCCUCAAGUAAACGUAGUCAAUACUGCAAAUGGUGUGGAAGUACUGUACAUUGUGGCCCAAAUGUCCAAAAUUUCCACAUUGCAUGUAAAUUAAGUUUGCGUGAGAGAGAUAGGAGGAAGCAACAGCAAGUGUGAAGUCAAUAGACAACUGAUAGUCUUAGUCUUUUUUUGUCGAGUUAAAGUGUAGUCAAUAGACAAUUGAUAGUCUUAGCCCUUUUUGUGGAGUUAAAAGUAUAGUCAAUAAACAAUUGAUAGUUAAAUUUGUAGCAUUCUUCUUCCUCUUUAUUCUUUUGUGUGGAAAAUUAUUUGGGACCAAACUUGACGUGUUAUAAGGAAGAAGACUUUGUAAUCUCAUGAAUGUUAAUUAUUUUACUUCUUUGGUAAAAAAAGUAACCAAUUUUAUGAAUGAAAAAUAUUAUGUGGUAAAAAGGAAGUAGUUGUUCAUCACUAACAAUAUGAUGAUUGUGGAAAUACAAAAAAUCCCAUAUAUGUGUUGAAUUCUGCAUAAUAUAAAUGUCCUGCAUUGCAUGUGAAUUCUGCAAUAGACCAAACUUUACGUGUUAUAGUCCUUUAAACUGAGUUAAUGAAAAGUAACCAUUCUUAUCAAAUUUAGUUAUACUCUUAAUUUAUAACAAAGGAAAGAGUAAUUUGAGUUUAACUCAAAGGUUAAUAUGUCAUCAAUGGGUGAUGGCGUGGCGCUACCAUGUCAGCGAUUAUUUUCUUCUUUGAAUUAAGGUGAUUUCACCAAUUUUAGUUUACUUUUUUACUUCAAUUUAGGUUUAUGCUUAUUAGCUUCAAAGAUUCUAAGUGGGUGCCACAAUCAAAGGGUGAGUAAAAAGGGUUAAAAAUGAUUUUUUUAAAAUUUUUUAUUUUUAUUAAAAAUUUAGAAUUAGAAUUAGACAAAUUUUGUAAAAGUUAAGGGCUAACUUUAUUGAUUUUUUUUUUCAGAAUUCGAACUAAAAUUACAUUUUGUAAAAAGAGCUAAAUUUGUUGAGUUUUUUAUAUUUAGGAUCAAAUUGAUAGAAUGUGUAAAUAUUAGAGGUUAAAUUUGUUAUUAGAUCAAUAAAAAAACCCACAUUAGCUUUGCGUCACUCAUCUAACGACAACUAAAGGGAGAGUUAUUAAAAUAUUUAAUUUCAAAAAGUUUAGCAACUAAAUUGGAAAAUUUAAUAGUUGGGUGACUAUUUUUGCAGUUUACUACUUUUUUGGUCACCUGACUAUUAAGUGACACUUUUUAGUUGGUAUAAUAAUAAUUUUAGUCCUCAAUUUUUAUACUUUCUGUCAAUUUGACUCUGAUUAUAUAAAAUGAUUACAAAAGUGAAAUUCUUUUUAAAAUUUACAAAAUUCUAAAAAUUAAAAAUUAAAUGAAAGUAGAUAAAAAUUUCAAAUAUAAACAAAGUGAGAGAAAAUGAGGGAAAUAUUAUUUUUAAACCCUCCAACUUUUCUUUGUAUUAUCGUAAAGAAAUAUCUAAUAUCCAUUCUUUUAGAAAACAUAGAAAAAAGUAAAAAAAAAAAAGAUUAAGUAAAAUUAUCUGUAUAUAAUCUGCUUUUAUAAUUUGGGUUUUUAAAAAUAAAUUUAAAUGAAUUGAAAAUUCGAAUUGAGUUUGAAAAAUAAAAUUUUGUGGUAUAUUUUAUAUUUUUGCUAGAAAAAUGGCAUCAAAGUUGAUUUUGUAAGCUUUUGUAAUAUCAGUUACGGAUGUUCUUCAAGGGCAUGGAACUCAACUUGAAAAUUUUACUAAUUUGGUUGCAAAAAAACAUUGAGGAAGCAUAUAAUGAUCUAACCUUUUUUGUUUUGUUUUGUUUUUAAUUUGUUAUGGGAUUCUAUUGAAUGAUAAUUUUUUUUUAUUUCCCAUACAUAUUAGUUCUUCAAAAACAACAUAUUCGAGAUUUUAUUUUUCUAGAAUUUUUAUAUAGAAGUUUAUAUUUUUUAAAAUAAAUUUGAGUUUUUUUUAGAAUUUUUAUAUAGAAUCGAGGUAAAUUGGCAAAAAAAAUUAUAAAAACAAAAUACUAAAAUUGUUAUUAUAGCAACUAAAAAGUGUCAUUUAACAAUAGGGUGACCAAAUUGUAACUUUUUUAGUUAAGUGACCAAAACGAAGAUUUACCCAUAGUUUAGUGGCUAAUUAUGUAGUUUACCCUUUCAUAAUUAAAAAAUAGUUGUUAAGUUUUUCUUGUAUUAGAUAACAAUUUAGAUGGUAAAAACCCUCUUUAGUCCCUCUCAAUUUUGAUAUUAAGUAAAAUUGUCCAUUUAAAAAAAAAAUCAAAGCAAUUUAAUAUUUGUUAAUUUCGAAAGUGAGCAACUAAGGACAAUUAAUCACAAUGUCAAUAUUUUCCAUCAAUUGUACAUAUUUUUAUUGGUGUAAUAACAAAUUUAGCUCUCAAAGUUUACACAUUCUGUCAAUUUAGUCUUGAUUUAACAAAUUUAACCCGCAACAAUUACAUAUUCUAUUAACAUUGACACAUAAUAUAUAAACAUUGAGAGCUUAAUUUUUUAUUGUAUCAAUAAAAAUUAUGUACAAUUUACAUAAAGCAUUAACACAAUGAUUAAUUGUCCUUAGUUGCUCCCUUUCAAAAUUGAUCAUGAUUAAAUUGCUCUAAUUUUCUGAGAGGAACCAAUUUGUUCAAUAUAGAAAUUGAGAGGGACGAGAAAUGUGUUUUUUAUCCAUUUUAGAUACCAACAAGUGUUUGGCAUAGUCGCAAGACAUAUUACAUUCUCAAGGAGAGAAUGCGUAGUCAAACGUUGGAGAUAUCAAUGUUGUGUGGGGUAUCCAAGGAUCUCGAACACGAACUGUAAAACAUAUAUAAAGAAUAAAAAAAUAACAUCUUAAUUUAAAUAAUUAUAAAUUUUAAUUUGAAAAAAGUAUUUUGAGAAACAUAAGUUUUAGAAGUAGUAAAAUUGAAUCGAUAAAACAUGUCCAUUAUAUCAGAAUCAUAAAAAUACAACUUAAUUAAUUUGAAUUUAAACUUAACUCAACUCGACUUGAUUAUAAAAACUGAUAAUUUGAAUUCAAAAUGACAUGAUCUUGAAAUGAUUUGAAUUAAUUGUCAGACCCGAACGACAAAACUCGAAAUGAUGCAAUCCAAAAACACAAAUCAAGUGAACUAAACUACGAAAAAAAAAACCUUACACUGACUCAAAUCCAAAAUAGUUUAAUCCUAAAAUAACCUAAAUUUUAUAUAAUAAAAACUCGAAAUAACCCGAAAAUUUUUAAAUUAAAAUUGAUCCGACCCAAAUUCACACCACCUAAAAUCAAUCGUAACCACCUAAUUAAAAAGCAUGAAAUGAAAUGAUGUAAAGAGAAAAUCAGAGAAAACCAAAUAGAAAGUAACAAGCCUUUUUCAGAAUUGAAAGCAAAUUCCGUACAUUCACGACAUGCAUAAAACAACAAUGGUUUAUAGAAUUUGAGUUUUAGUCCCUGUACUUUAAAAGUUAAUUUUUCUUAAUUUAAAAACUUUAGUUUAAUCAUUUAUGUUGGUUGUAGUUUCCGUUAGCUUAAUCAACAUGUUAAAUUACUAAAUUUUGACAAAAAAUACUUACGAGUUUAAUGAUUGUACCGAGAUUUUUAAAUAAAAAAGUCGGAAGACUAAUUUCUAACCUUUUAAAUAUAGGGACUAAAAGCAUCUUUUAACUUUGAUAUUAUUAUUAUAAGCAGGGAUAAUGUCACCUUUGGCAUCUGUACUUUCAUAAAAUGUCUAGUGGUACAAGUACUUUGAAAAUAUAUAAUGUGGUACCUGAACUAUCAAUAGGUGUUAUUAUUAUGGUACAUGUACUUUGAAAAUGUUUAAUGUGGUACCUAAACUAUCAAUAUAUAUUUUAUUAUGAUACUUGAUAAAGACGGACUAUGGUGGCUUAGGGGGCUCUUUGUCCCGCCACCCUUGCAAAAAAAAAAAAAAUCGAAGAAUUUUGUUUUUUCCUUUAAAAUUUUUAGAAAAUUUCAAUUAGGCCCUCAAAAUUUUUGAAAAUUUUCAUUAUACCUUUUAAUUUUUUUGAAAAUUUUAAUUAAGCACUCUUAAAUUUUGAAAAUUCUCAUUGAUCUCACAAAAAUUUUAAAAUUUUUUAUUAGACCCCCAAUUUUUUUAAAAAAAAUCUUAUUAAACCAUUAAAUUUUUAGCAAAUUUUACCUGCCCCCUCCCCCCCAAAAAAACCUAGUCCCAACUACUAGUAUCCGCCAUUGUUACUUGGUAUUAACACUGUUAGAAAAUUGCUAAAUCAACCAAUAAAAAUUUGACACAUAGAACCCUUUUUUUAAUUAUCAAGUCCACGUGGAUAAUAUAAUAGUGAAAAAAUAAAUAAAAAAUAAUUAAAUGAAAUUAAAAAACAAAUAACUAAACAUAUGGUUAAUAAAAAAAAACCCAUACUUUCAAAGAUAAUAAAAAAUAUUAUUUAAAAAUCAAUUGAAAAUAUUAUUUUAAAAGGAAAACUCUUUGAAGAAGAUGAUCAUUUGCUUAAAUGGAGAAUAUAAUAUUUUUGGUUAUGUAAGUUUAGUAUUUACUUCUUUUUUAUUAAUCAUAUGUUUAGUUUUUUUUUUAAUUAAUUUAAUUGUUUUAUUUAGUUUUUCACAUAAUGUUAUUUUACACAUGCGGACUUGAUGAAUUAGAAAAAAAAUAUUAUGUGUCAAAUUUUCAUUGGUUGGUCUAAUAAUUCAUUAACGGUGGAUUUGUUCUACAUUGAUGACAAAGAUGUGGAGUUUAAAGAAGUAAGAACUUAUCAACAAUAUUCGAGGUUCUGUUAUAUGUUACCUUAUUAAAAAAGUCAUCACUUAAAUUCUUCUAUGUUGCCUUAUGUAUGUAGGUUCUUGAGUCACCUUUGCCAAAAGCACCGCUUGAUACAUCUGUUACAUCCCACUGGCUUGCGAUUGAAGGCAUUCAACCAGCAAUUCCAGAAAAUGCUUCAAUUGAAGGUACCGUCUUAGCUAACCUAAAUAUUCUCUCGAAGCUAUUUGUGUUGAAGACUCUCAUGGUUCAUGUUCUUUUCUGGUUUUAUCACUUUAAUCUAAUACGACUUAUCGUCAUUUCUACACGGAAUUUGUAUUUUGCUUUCCAUGCAGCACCUUCUGAUGGUAAAAAGGCUGAAUACAAAAAAGAUGGGCUUUCCGUUGAUGUCAAAUUACCUGUUAAGCAUGUAUUAUCUAGAGAGCUUCAAGUAUGUUGUACAUCUUCAGCAACAUUUUUCUGUUAAAAUACAUUUUGCACAGAAUGAUAUUAAAAGACUAAUUUGGUUGUCAUGCAGCUUUACUUUGACAAGAUCGUGGACAUUACCAUGAAUAAAUCAGUCUCAAUUCUCUUUAAACAAGCAUUACUGAGUUUGGCAACAGACUCGGGAUUACAUCCUUUAGUUCCUUAUUUUACAUAUUUUUGCGGAUAUCUCAUACCUGAUUAUAUAUGUGUGUUGCAAAGAACUUUUGGUUGGUUAUCUCGAGCUUACAUUUUUGCCACAUUUAUCUCAGGUUGCACGGAGUAAUUUCCCUCUCAUGUUUGCUUUGAUGCGUGUUGCCCGGAGUCUUCUCCAGAAUGAACACUUACACAUAGAACCUUACUUGAGUUUAUUAUUUCAAUCAUUUAGAAGUACACGAACUAAUGCAAAUAUGCUAGUGGUUUAUUUUCCACCUAUCUGAUUUUUUAAAAUGUUCUUCAGUUACACCAGUUGAUGCCAUCUAUUAUUACCUGCCUCGUUGCAAAAAGGUUAGGAAAUAAAUUCACCGACAAUCAUUGGGAACUUAGAAACUUCGCAGCAAAGCUAGUGGCAUCAUUAUGCAAAAGGUGAGGAUUUCUUUUCUUUUGGACUUAUACAUGCAUAUUCGUUUUUAUGAAUCUCAGGUGUCUGAUUUUUUAGUUAUAAACUUGGAUCUAUUCUUCAAAUCAUGUGUAUAUCAUUUUUAUGCUAUUUCACACAUGCAAAACAAAUGGUGCGAGCGUGCAUGUUAUAUGCAGAAUGCAUAGAUUAAUUACAUGUGGAUCAUUAAGCAUGCCUAUGUUUGACCAUUGUGUGUGGCUACUUUUUUUUACAUGAUCCAAUUUUCGAUAUGCUUUGCUUUUAGGUUGAAUGCGGAAAAGAUUAGAACUUAGUUUCCAGCAUAAUGAUUUGUCUUGGAUAUGCAGAUUUUUACAUGCAUUUCUUACAAGUCAAUAUUUUAUAGAUUUGGGCAUGUUUAUCACAAUCUUCAGCCACGUGUGACAAGGACACUGCUCCAUGCUUUUUUGGACCCAACGAAAACAUUUCCCCAGCAUUACGGAGCAAUUCAAGGGUUAGCAGCCCUUGGACCCAGUGUGGUAUAAUUCUAAUCUCAAAUAUUUACUAGCAACACAAUAAGAUACUUGUUUGUGGGAUCAACUGGUCAAAGAUAUUGCAAUGAUAGCCAUCUUUUUAAGCCCAUUUCUUUCAGAAAACUGUUUUGUCACUCUUUUCUGCAAGAUCCGAAGAAAGAAAGAACUUGGAAAUCUAUAGUCCAAAAGUGUAAAUAUGCGGUUUCUCUAUAGGUAUCUUUAUUAUGGCAUCUGUACAGUUUGUCUUUCAUAUGUUUGGCUAACGCUUCUUCUUCCAUGUGUAGGUUCGUUUACUUAUACUACCAAAUCUUGAAGCGUAUUUGCAGCUUCUUGAACCUGAAAUAAAAAGACACGAGGCCUGGUGUGUUUAUGGGGCCCUGCUGGUAAGUUCCACAUCAAAUUUGGUACCAGUUUAUGAGCAUCGUUUCAUUUAUUUGCUGUAGAACUAACAACACUGCAUAAAAUUUCCACUAACAGCGUGCAGCUGGACUGUGCAUGUAUGAUCGGCUUAAAAUGUUCCCCAGUUUGCUAGCACCCCCAACUCGUCCCGUUUGGAAAAGCAACAACAAAGUUGCGACAAGUAUGAUUUCUUCGAACCAUCAUAUUUACACUUAAUCCACAAGUCUCUUCUCCCCCUUUACGAUAUUCCUUUUUCUGAUCAACCAAGAUAAACGAAAAGCAAGCACGGACACCUUGAUGCAGCAGCAACAACCUGCCAAGAAAAUAGCAACUGAGAGUGCAAUAGGUAUGAUGCCAAUAAAUUCCAUGCAAGCUGAUUUACAAGGGUCAGUUAGCGGCUUUUCUACCACCGUAGGAGGUUCCAAUAUCGGUGUAUCAUCAAUGUCACGGCCGUUAUCAAACUAUAACAUGCUUGGAAGGGAGGCUGGGGGUCGAGUUUCAAAGACAUCAACCGUUCUAGCUCAGGCUUGGAAGGAAGACACAGACGCAGGGAACUUGUUAGCAUCAUUAUUUGAACUUUUUGGUGAAAGUAUGUUAUCAUUUACUCCCAAACCUGAGCUUUCAUUCUUCCUUUGAUUGAAUUUCACCUCCAAAAGCUAUAGUUUUUGAAGGAAUUUGUGUAAAUUAUCCCCAUAGUUUUUUUCAGUCUUACUGUGUUUAUCUUUAUAAGUCUUCUUUUUUUCCUUGCUCAUAAAUGUAUUGUAGUUAUCAGAAAAUAUAUUCUACUUUGGAUUUUGUUUAUAUUAAAUUUUAGGUUAAAUUCUGCUAUUAGUCUCUGUAUUUACGAAAAUGAUGGAUUUAGUCCUUAUACCUUAAUUUGAUCAAUUUUAGUCAUUGUAUUUUUUGAAUUGGUCAAUUUUAAACUAUUUACUUUUUGAAGUUUGAAAUUUUAGUCUUGAUCCAAAUAAUAAUAAUAAUUAAAUCUGCUUAUUUAAAUUCAAUUAUUAGUUUUGUAUUAUGUAGAUAGUUAUAAAUUUAGGGUGGGUUUGGAUGGGCUGUGCUUUUACCUGCAGUUAGUGUAAAAAUAGCGGCGGUGGUGAGAUUAGAUAUCCAAGGUACCUAAUUUUUAUUUUGGCCAUAAGUACUACUAAAACUAUUCUUCCGUUACCCAUUUUAUACCAAAAUGUUAUAUCGGCUAAAAAGAUUCCAACAAAUAAUAGAUUGUAUGUCAUAUAAACUUUUUUAAAAAAUCAUUAAUUAAUUAAUUUUUAUAUUUUUCUUUCUUAUUCCUUUAUAAUGUUUGACAAUGUCGAUAAUGCUUGAAAUUGGCCCACUUGAGGUCGAAACGCUGGUGAUUAAUUUUGGUUUUGAAUUUCACCACCUACUUCUCUGACCAGAGGGGAUAGAAAAAGUUCUUUCAUCGAUCAAAACUAGUAUUUUCAAAAACAGACUGAUUCUACGGGUUGGAUAGGAAAUCGGUUUGGAAAUAGGGGUUGAAUCGAUUGACUUGCGAGCAAAAACAAAUCGGUUGAACUAAGCUAAAAAAACUGGUUGAAUAAGUUCUCUCUUUUUAUAUAUAUAUAAAUAAUAAUAGGCUUUGUUUUUACUACAUGUCAAUUUUUAAUUGGUUAAUUUUUUUUUCAUAUAAAUUGAACAAUUUGACUAAUGACGGAGGUACCAAAUUAUAGUCUAGGUACCAAUUUAUGGGUUAAGCCUAUUUAUAAAAUAGACUUUUGACAGUUUGACUAAUGGCGGUAGUAACUUGGGAAAAAAAAGUAGUUUAUGUACCACUUGUGACAAAAAAUAAGAUUAGGUACCAACAUGGGAAAAUGAGUAUAAUUUAGAUACCGAUUUAUGAGUUAAGCCUAAUAUAUUUGUCGCAUAAUUUUUUGAAAAUAACAGAACUUAAUAAAUUUAACGGUUAUUGUUUGGUGAUUACUAAAAUUUUAAAAUUUGAAAAGUACAUGAACUAAAAAUGACCAAAUUAAAAUAUAAAUAUUAAGUCCACAACUUUUGCAAAGUACAAGGACUAAUUGCAGAAAUUAACCUAAAUUUCAUAUGGGUCAAUUACAAAAAUAAUCACUAAACUAUCCCUUUGGUUCUAUUCUAGUCACUCAACUAUAUAGGUGCUCAUGAGCUUGGCCAGGUCAGGCCUAAGUAAGGGUGAGCAUUCGAUUGAAUCGAAAAUAGGGUUUGGGAUAGAUGGGAGGGGAAUAAAAGUUUUAGGGGAAAAGUGGGAGGGAGUAAAAAUUUUGGGAGAAAAUAAAAGGUUUUGAGGGUUUUGGGGAGUAAAAUAUUGAGAAAAAAUAAAUAGGAGAGUAAAAUUUUGGUGGGAAAUGGAUUUUGGGUAGAUUGGGGGGUUGGGAGGGGAGGGGAGUAAAAGUUUUGGGGGGAAAGUGGGAAGGAGUAAAAGUUUUGAGGGAAAAGUAAAAAAGUUUGGGAGUUUGGGGUAAAAAUGUAAAAUAUUAUAGUUUGAUAUUCGAAUUAUUCGAAUUAUUCGAGUUAUUCGAAUUCGAAAACUCAACUCGAUUCGAACUCGAAAUUCGAAAAAAAAUUCGAGUUGAUUCGAAUAACUCGAUUCGUUUAACUCGAAAUUUGAAUUUUUUUCAAUUUUUUCGAGUCGAAUCGAGUUUUGCUCACCCCUAGUUGCAAGUGCAACUUGCGUGGUGGCUGCCAGAAGGACUGAAUCGUAAAUGUAGCAAAAGUUUUGGGGCAAAAAUGUAAUUUUGAGAAAGUUUAGGGUCAAAAUAUAAUUUUAAAAAAUAUUAAGGGUUAAAAUAUAAUUUUAUAAAAAUUUAAGGGUCAAAAUGAAAUUUUAGAAAAGUUCAGAGGUCAAAAUACAAUUUUUAAAUUUUUUUUAAAAAAAAAAACACGAAAUUAUUCCCACAAAAUUAAGUGAUUACACGUAACUUUUCAAUGUAAAAGAAAAAAAAGACUGUAACACCAAUGUUGUGGUGUUAUUUGUUGCCUAUAAAUACCAUUCCUAUUCUUCAUCUUCCUCUGCAAACAUAACAUGGCCCCCUAUCUCUUUCUCUGCCUAUUCCUCUUCUUUCCCCGUCUUUAUGCUUCUUUUUCUUCUUCAGGAUAUCAGUCCUGCUCUUCAUUAAUCCAGUUUAAGGACUCUUUUUCCAUAACAGAGGAUGCUUCUUCUGAUUGCAAUGAGAUUGCUGGCCUUAAAUCUUAUCCCAAGACAAAUUCAUGGAAGGAGGGUACAGAUUGCUGCUCAUGGGAUGGGGUCACUUGUGACCACCUAAAUGCUCAUGUUAUUGCCCUUGACUUGAGCUGCAGUUGGCUAUAUGGCAACUUCCCUUCCAAUACCACUCUCUUCCUUCUUCCUCACCUUCAAAAACUCAACCUUGCCUACAAUGAUUUUAAUCUUUCCAAAAUUCCAUCCGAGUUCGGUCGGUUUACAAGCCUAUUCUACCUCAACCUUUCCCAUACAGAGUUUGAAGGAGAAGUCCCAUCCCAAGUCUCCCACCUGUCAAAAUUGGUUUCACUUGAUCUCUCCUCUCGGAUUGAUUACUCUGGGCAAGUUACAAUUGACAAACAUGCUCUGGAGGGACUUGUUCACAACCUAACCGAGGUCAGACAUCUGUUUUUGGAUGGAAUGGACAUGUCUUCUGUUAAUGCUCAUGUCUUCAUGAAUCUAUCCUCUUCUCUAAGGUCUCUCAGUCUUGCUUAUUGUGAUUUGCAAGGAAAAUUCCUAAAAAACAUUAUUGAUUUGCCAAACCUCAAUCUCCUCAACUUGGGACGUAACCAAAACCUCAAUCUUGAUCCUUUGAAGUUCAAUCGGAGCAGCAAUCUCGAACAUUUGGAUCUGUCGUGGAUGUCCUUCUCUACAGAAUCCGUUAAUUCAGUUGAUAAUCUACAGGCCUUAAAGUACUUAGAUCUAUCAGGAAAUUCUUUCUUUCAAGGAUUGUCUGUCUCAAUCACAAAUUUAUCAUCUUUGGAGCAAUUGAUAAUUUCAGGCGCAAAUUUUUUUGGAGGAUUGCCUGACUCGAUGGGGAAUCUUGUGUCCUUGAAGUUUUUAUUUCUCUCCGAUUCCAACUUUUCAGGACCGCUUCCAAGAUCACUGGGAAACCUCUUUCAACUCAAGUGUUUAGACUUGAGAUCAAACAAAUUGAGUGGACAAAUUCCAUUGUCAAUUCUAAACCUAACGCAGUUGGAAUACUUGGAAAUAUCUGAAAAUUCUUUAGAAGGUUCCAUUCCAGAUGAGGUAACCGCUUUUCCUAAUCUAAUAUAUUUAUACUUAUCUGACAAUUUACUCAGUGGAACACUUCCGUCAUGGUUGUAUACUGCUCCCUCAUUAGACAGUAUAGGUCUCUCUCAAAAUCAAUUCAGUGGGCAUAUCAAAGAAUUCCAAUCCAAAUCACUAGAAUUGAUAGCGUUAGAGAGUAAUAAACUCCAAGGUCCUCUUCCAUCUUCAAAAUUCCAACUUCUCAAUCUUACCCACCUCUCUUUAUCCUCAAGUAAUCUCAGUGGUGUCAUAGAGUUUCGCAUGUUCUCAAACCUUCCAAAUCUAAAACUUCUUGACCUUUCAUACAACAGCCUAUCCUUAGCAUCUAAUACUACUUCUUGUGUUAACCAUAUAUUGCCUAAUCUUACAGACUUACGUUUGUCAUCUUGCAAUCUUAGUGAAUUCCCCCAAUUUUUGAAAGGGCUUAAAAGUUUGAAAAGGUUAGACCUCUCUUGCAACAAAAUUGAAGGCAAGAUUCCACAGUGGAUGCAAGAGGUGGGGAAUGGCUCUUUGACUUACUUAAACGUAUCUCACAACUAUUUGACAGAAGUUGAGCACUUUCCACGGAAGAAUAUUGAAGUUCUUGACUUAAGCUCCAAUUUGAUCAGUGGAAAUCUUCCGAUUCCAGCUUCGACCAUCAAUGUCUUUUUGAUCUCAAAUAAUAGUUUCAAUGGAGAGGUCUCUUCUUUAAUAUGCAAUGCCAGUUAUCUUAAAAUUCUUGAUUUGUCCCACAAUAACUUGAGUGGAACAAUUCCGCAAUGUUUUGGAAAUUUGAGCAACAGCCUUCAAUUCUUGAAUCUGAAGAAGAACAAGUUCUAUGGGACGAUUCCUCCAACAUUUGCAGAGGGAUGCCAAUUGACUAAUUUCAACAUAAAUGGAAAUCUGUUAGAAGGGCCUUUGACACCAUCCAUCCUUAAUUGUAAUGAACUGGAAGUGCUAGAUCUUGGUAACAACAAGAUCAAUGAUACAUUUCCUCAUUGGUUGGGCAGUCUUCCAUUUUUGCAAGUUCUUGUAUUGAAGUCAAAUCAUAUGCAUGGUUCCUUGCGUGUCAAUAGCUCCAAGUCUAGCCCUUUUUUCUCUAAAAUCCAAAUUUUUGAUCUCUCGAGUAAUUAUUUUUCUGGACCUCUACCUGUGAGAUACAUCAACAGCUUCAAGGCUAUCAUAAAUCUAGAUAAGAUUGGGAGUACAAUGUCGUACAUGGGGGUGUAUGCUCAGAGAGGUAGUGGCUUCUAUACCUAUUCCAUUGGAAUUGUUAUGAAAGGACAAGAUAUGGAAUUGGUGAAAAUUUUCACCAUGUGGAUGAUCAUUGAUCUAUCAAACAAUCAGUUUGAAGGGUGUAUUCCAGAGGUUUUUGGGAAGCUUAACUUACUGAAAGGGCUCAACCUUUCUCAUAACAACCUUCAUGGUGGUAUCCCCACCUCAAUAGGGAAUUUGACAAGUCUUGAAUGGUUGGACCUAUCUUCAAACAGGUUGUCUGGGACGAUUCCAAAUAGAUUGGCAGAUCUGGCAUUUCUUUCGUCCUUCAAUGUUUCUGAUAAUCAGCUCCAUGGUCAGAUUCCUCAAGGCAAACAGUUCAACACAUUUGGAAAUGAUUCAUAUGAAGGAAACAAGGGAUUAUGUGGAUUUCCAGUCUCGAAAGGUUGCAACAUCAUUGAGCCACCACCUCCAAAUGUGCUUGAAAAAGAUGGCUCAAAAUCAAACAUUACUUUUGGUUGGAAAGUGGUGUUGAUAGGUUAUGGAUGCGGAGUGGUGUUGGGAAUGUCCGUGGGAUAUGUUGUUUUCCAAACUGGUAAGCCGAAAUGGUUGGUGAAUUUGGUUGAAAUCCAACAUGAGAAGAAGCAAAGACGAAAGUCAAAGAAAGGCAAUCGAAGCAAUAGACGAAGAAGGAUCUAAGUACAGCAAAUGAUGUUCAAGAAUUAGUGUUGUAUUUUCAAAAUUUCUUGUUCUGUAGACCGUUUUGCCCAUGGUGAAGGGUUGCAUUGGUAUGUGUAUGUCUUUAUUAUUGUACCAAUUCCUGUCUUUCAUUGCAUUUCGUACUAUCUGUAAUGGUUUGUUUGAGUGUAACAUUUUGUAUGGUAUUGUUGUUUAUGUCUUCUUUCAUGACUUUCCAUUUAGUCUCGAUAAUCUUUGCUACUGCUCAGUAAAGGAGGAAGGAGAAUAAAAUGUCUCAAUUUAUGUCAAUUUAUGCUUGCAGAUUUGACGUGGAAUGUUGUUGAACUGAAGGUUGUUUAACUUUUGUCUUCUAAGCUAUACAUGAACAUAUGGGAUGUGACAAAUAUUAUUUUAGCUUUUGCUUAUGAAAUGUUGAAAUAGUGAGUUUAUAUUCCUUGAUUAAUAAAAAGUGAGAUGGAGAUAGUCAAACCUCAAUUUCCACAUUGAAAUUGAAUCCAAACAUUAAUUGGUGGAUCACAUGUCUUGUAUUCUGUCAAGUUAAAGGGAGUGAAUAGAGCACCAUUCUUCUUCUGCGUGGAAAAUAAGUUGGCGUUAUGCCAAUUUUCACAUUCAUACAUAUAAAGGAAGCAAGACCAAGUCAAUAUACUUUGUAAUCUCAUCAUUUCUUCUUCAUUCUUUAGGGAGUUCAAAUGAAAUACAAAUUUUUGGUAAAUCAACUCUUCUUUUUUAUGAAUAAAAAUUAUAUGGUAAAAAGGAAGUGGUGUUAAUAAUAAUAAUAAUAAUAAUAAUAACAACAACAAUACAAAACUAAUAAAGCAAUUUAGUCUAUGAUUUGCACAAUGAUUAAUGUAGCGACCUAAAAAUUUAGGCACGAGCGCUAAUUGAAGUGAUUAUUGAAAAUUUGAAAACAGAAUCUCGAUUUUAUUUGAAAAAGGAGUCGCUAUCGAUCUUUUUUUCUAGGUGUGAUCGGACACCUAAUAAAUUCUCUUUUUAGAAGAAAAAUUUAUUUUUAAAUUUUUCUAAAAAUAGGUAAUUUUUCUAAAAAAUUUAGGGGUCAAAAUGUAAUUUUUUAUUUUUUGAAUUUUUUUUGAAAUUUAAAAAAAUAUAUAUAUAUAAACACGACAAAACCCGGACAAAAUUUAGUGCUUACAAUUAAUACCUAAUUUGAUCCUUGAAUUAUAGUUCAAAAAGUAUUUUUAUAUUUUUAAAUUUUCAUAAAAAUAAUUGUAUCAAAAUUUAAAAAUCUUAAAAAUAAAUACAAAUUUUAUAUAAAAAAUCAAUUGGCCCAAGAAAAAAAAUUUACCAACUAAAUUUUCCAUAUCCAAACUCAUAAAUAAUUCUUCUUUGAACUUUCACAAAAAAAUAUUAAAUACCCUUUCACUUUAUCAUUAUAAAUAUAAUAUACAUUUUUUUCCUUCUUUUUCAUGUAGAUCAGCUUCAACUCUACUAUUCUUAGAUCAUUAUAAAUAUAAUAUAUGUUUUAUUUACAGCUGAAAGUAAAACCUUGAGUUGAAAUUUGGCAGAAAAAAUUGUGGGUUUGGAGAAGAAGAAGAGCACUUUGUAUUUAAAUUUAAAAAAUCAAAAAUUUCAAAACUGAAAGUUACUCAAAACCCUAAACAAUCUAAUAAUUGGAGUUAUAGAAAAGAAAUAUGAGUUUAGAAAUAAAUAAAACAAAAUAAAUUUGCAAAACAAUUUCUAGGCAAAACAACAUGAAGUUGUUGAUGUGAUUGAAGGUGUUCUUCAACGGUGGAAAACAAAUAGAAUUUAAUUUGAAAAUUUUAAGAUUUUUUAAAUAAUAAAAAAUUGCAUUAGUUUAAAAACUUUAGUUUUAAUUUUAAGAUAUUUUUAGAUUUAUACAUAUUUAAUUAUUUUUAGAUUUUUUAGAUUUAAAUGAAGUUACAAUUAUUUUUGAAAACGGUACCUCUACAUUUUUGAAGGUACAAGGAAAUAAAAUAUGGAUUUGGUAUCGAUACUUCGGCCCGAGUAUCAAUGCUCGAGGUAAGUUUAUUGAUACCUUGCGAAAGGUACCAAUAAUUUUUUUAUAUUUUGAUAUUUGGUAAGAAACAUAAUGUUAGUUUGGUAUCGAUUUUCCAUGAGAUAUCAAUACCACUUAAAGAAAAUAUCGAUAGCCCUAGGACAGUAUCAAUACCUAUGUAACAGUUUUAGAAAUUUUGCAACUGGGCCCAUUUGUAGGUUUGAUUGAUGUUUUUAAUACCCUUAGUGUAUGUAUGGCAUGUUUUAAUGAUAAGAAGUGGUUGAACGACUACAACUCAUACGUAGGAUUGAAUAAAGAUGAUGAUUGGUUACUUGUGAAAUUGUUUGCUAAGUAAAUGAUGCAUGAUGGUGGUGUAACAUCCUAAUAUUUCGGCUUGGCGACUGAGCCGAGUAUAGGGUGUUACAAUGUGUUCCACAAGUUUCAUCAGCAAUCCUCAAUGCAUCUAAUUAAUUGGGAAAAUUGAGAAAAUAGAAAUGGUCAAGAAGAUGUAACAUGAUGAGUACCUCUUUGCACCGUCAAGAAUUUUAGUAAGUCUCCAAAUUCAUUCAUUAACCCUCCUUCCUGUUAAAUAUUUAUCAUUAAUUUUAUUAAAUUAAAACAUAAAUUUUUAUAAAUCUAAAGUGUAAUUUAUGAGCCGGGUUAUUCAAUCCAAAAAAAAAAAAUCAGCCAAGACUCUUUGGACAAAUUGCUUGAGUAAAACCAGAAAAUGAAUAACAAUUUUGAUGGAUUUUGAUUACAAAUGAAUUGAGGCAUAAUGCCAUUACAUAUACCAUGCAUUCAGCUGGUCAAAAUGAGACAGACAUCACCUAAUCAUCAACCUAACUCCACUAAGUAGCCUUGAAACUUAUGAAAACAUAACUUGCACACAUAGGUACGCUGAUUUAUCAAUCUAUCAGCACCUAAUUACAUCAAACAUGUUACCAACUUAGUUCAAAUCAAACUAAGCAAGAAAACAUUAACUUAAAGUAACAAAAAAUGAACAGCAGCAUGAACUUCAGCUGCAACUGCAUGGCUGGAGCAGCUCUGCUUCUUGUCUGCAUGCCGGCCAACUUCAACAAGAUCUGAGUAAGGCUAAUUUGUCCAGAAGUUGCAUCAUGCAAAACUAUUUAAUGGCUUUUAGGUAGCUUUGUCAACGGCAAAAAAAAUGAGAAAAUUAGUCAAAUUUCUUCCAUUUUUAUCUUUAAAAAUUUGGUUUUGUGCGUCAACAUGAAGUACAUGUGGCACGUACAUGCAAACUGUCUGAUUAUUUAGACAUCUACACUAGUUUUUAAAGGUAAAAAUAGAAGAAAAUUUUAAUAAACAAGACCAAUUAACUCUUUUAUCUAGCAUACAAGAAUUAUUCUAUACAUCUUUCAAUAAAUGGGGAAAAUUACAUCCACACAUUCUCCACAUUUCAGACCUGUAAUUCUAGCCAAUUGGUCACAAGCAUACAUGUCCCAUUUCAAUAUUCAAAGGUCUGCUUUGAUUAUUUUAUUUUGUGUUCUGUUGUCGCCCCAAAAUAGUUCCACUUGGCACAUCUCCAUACAUUUCAAACAUACCAAAAAUCUGCUGGCAAGCAAUACAAGACAAGUUCCAGCCACUUCAACAUUUGGCUCCUGUUCAUUGCCAAAAGAAAAAAAUAAACAUUUUUUAUAUUUAAUUGAAGGUCAAAAACACAUAAAAAGACAACCGGACAGCUAGUAUUUCAUCCAAUCUUCACAACAUGUCUGUGUGCGUGCAGAUCCUUCACUUCCCAGAAGCCUUUAGCGCGUAUUCUAUUAUAAAAUCACAGAUUACUAUUUAAAUGAUAAAUAAAUUAUUUAAAGUAUGAAAAUAUACAUGUUUUUUUUUAUUGGCUUAAGGGCGUAAAAAAUCCUUAAAUUUUUUUUUUAAAAAAGACAAUUAAAUUUCUCCUUUUUUUACACUCAAUUGAGCACUUAAAGUUUUAAAAUGCAUCAAAAAUACUCUCAAACUUCUUCCGAAAAAACAAUUAAAUCCUUAUUUUCUUUCCCACUCAAUUGGGUGCUUGAACUUUUUCAUAAUAUUUUUUUGGGCGAUUUAAUGAACCAUACAAGUUUCAAGGCUAAAAGAGGCAAAAGAAAAAGAAAAAGAAAAAGAAGCUAAAAUGACUUUUUGUUUGUAAAGUCAAAAAAUACCAAAUAAAUCAUUAUGUCUUUUUAGUUUUAAUUUUUUACUUGAUUAAAAGAGAAAUAAUUAACGAAUGAAAAAUAGCUAUUCCUAAAUAAAUUUAUCAGAAUUUAUAACAAAUGAGAUUUUAGAUUUGAAGUAUGAGGUUAUAUAUAUUAUAUAAGUAUACCUGUUUUUAUGGAAUCGGUGGAUUAUAUUUUCGACAGUCUUCUUCCCCAAGCGUAGUGAAUAGAGCACAAUUUUGUUCUUUUGGAUGGAAAAGAAUUUCUACAUUAAUUAGAUUUGGUUGACAGGCAAAUGAAUAGAUACACACAUUUUUUACGUGUUAUUAAGGAAGAAGACUAAGUCAAUCUACUUUGUAAUCUCAUCAAUCUUAAUUUUUUUAGUUGUUUAGGGAGUUCAAAUGAAAUACAAGAUUUUGCUAUAAAAAAAAAAAGCAUCCAAUUUUAAGAAUGAAAAAUAUACGGUAAAAAGAAGACUAAUGGUUGUUGAUGAUUGUGAAAAAUACAAAAAUUAUUUGUUGCCUAUAAAUACCAUUCCUAUCCUUCAUCUUCCUCUACAAACAUAACAUGGCCUCCUAUCUCUUUCUCUGCCUAUUCCUCUUCUUUCCCCAUCUUUAUGCUUCUUUUUCUUCUUCAGGAUCUCACUCCUGCUCUUCGCUAAUCCAGUUCAAGAAUUCUUUUUCCAUCACUCAGACAGAUGUUGCUUCUUCUUAUUGCGAUGAUCAAUCUUAUCCCAAGACAGAUUCAUGGAAGGAGGGUACAGAUUGCUGCUCAUGGGAUGGGGUCACUUGUGACCACCUAAAUGCUCGUGUUAUUGUCCUUGACUUGAGUUGCAGUUGGCUAUAUGGCAACUUCCCUUCCAAUACCACUCUCUUCCUUCUUCCUCACCUUCAAAAACUCAACCUUGCCUACAAUUAUUUUAAUCUUUCCAAAAUUCCAUCCGAGUUCGGUCGGUUUAUAAGCCUAUUCUACCUCAACCUUUCCAAUACAGGGUUUGCAGGAGAAGUCCCAUCCCAAGUCUCCCACCUGUCAAAAUUGGUUUCACUUGAUCUCUCCUGUCGGGCUGAUGCACAAACAAUUGACAAACAUGCUCUGGAGGGACUUGUUCACAACCUAACCGAGGUCAGACAUCUGUUUUUGGAUGGAAUCAACAUGUCUUCUGUUAAUGCUCAUGUCUUCAUGAAUCUAUCCUCUUCUCUAAGGUCUCUCAGUCUUGCUUUUUGUGAUUUGCAAGGAAAAUUCCCAAAAAACAUUUUUGAUUUGCCAAACCUCAAUCUCCUCAACUUGGGAGGCAACCAAAACCUCAAUCUUGAUCCUUUGAAGUUCAAUCGGAGCAGCAAUCUUGAACAUUUGGAUCUGUCGUGGAUGUCCUCCUCUACAGAAAUUGAUUCAGUUGAUAAUCUACAGGCCUUAAAGUACUUAGAUCUAUCAGGAAAUUCUUUCUUUCAAGGAUUGUCUGUCUCAAUCACAAAUUUAUCAUCUUUGGAGUACUUGAUUCUUAGAGGCGCAAAUGUUUUUGGAGGAUUGCCUGACUUGACGGGGAAUCUUGUGUCCUUGAAGUUUUUAGAUCUCUCCCAGUCCAACUUAUCAGGACCGGUUCCAAGAUCACUGGGAACCUCUUGCAACUCACUCAUUUAGACUUGUCGCAGAACCAAUUGAGUGGACAAAUUCCAAGAUUAUUGGGGAACCUCUUUCAACUCACUCAUUUAGACUUGUCGUGGAACCAAUUGAGUGGACAAAUUCCAAGAUCAUUGGGGAACCUCUUGCAACUCACUCAUUUAGAUUUGUCGAUGAACCAAUUGAGUGGACAAAUUCCAAGAUCAUUGGGGAUCAUUGGGGAACAUCUUGCAACUCACUCAUUUACUUGUCGGUGAACCAAUUGAGUGGACAAAUUCCAAGAUCAUUGGGGAACCUCUUGCAACUCACUCAUUUAGACUUGUCGGUGAACCAAUUGAGUGGACAAAUUCCAAGAUCAUUGGGGAACCUCUUGCAACUCACUCAUUUAGACUUAUUGGUGAACCAAUUGAGCGGACAAAUUCCAAGAUCAUUGGGGAACCUCUUGCAACUCACUCAUUUACAGUUGCCGGUGAACCAAUUGAGUGGAAAAAUUCCAAGAUCAUUGGGGAACCUCUUGCAUCUCACUCAUUUACACUUGCCGAUGAACCAAUUGAGUGGACAAAUUCCAUUGUCAAUUCUAAACCUAACGCAGCUGGAAUACUUUGUAAUAUCUAAAAAUUCUUUAGAAGGUUCCAUUCCAGAUGAGGUAACCGCUUUUCCUAAUCUAAUAUAUUUACACUUAAAUGACAAUUUACUCAAUGGAACAUUUCCGUCAUGGUUGUUUACUGCUCCCUCCUUAAAGGAAAUAUAUCUCUCUCAAAAUCAAUUCAGUGGGCAUAUCAAAGAAUUCCAAUCCAAAUCACUAGAAUUGAUAGCGUUACAGAAUAAUAAACUCCAUGGUUCUCUUCCAUCUUCAAUAUUCCAACUUCUCAAUCUUACCGACCUCGUUUUAUCCUCAAAUAAUCUUAGUGGUGUCAUAGAGUUUCGCAUGUUCUCAAACCUUCCAAAUCUAAAACAUCUCGACCUUUCAUAUAACAGCCUAUCCUUAACAUCUAAUACUACUUCUACUGUUAAUCAUAUAUUGCCUAAUCUUACAGGCUUACUUUUGUCAUCUUGCAAUCUUGGUGAAUUCCCCCAAUUUUUAAAAGGGCUUAAAAGUUUGGAAAGCUUAGACCUCUCUUGCAACAAAAUUGAAGGCAAGAUUCCACAGUGGAUGCAAGAGGUGGGGAAUGUCUCUUUGACUUACUUAAACGUAUCUCACAACUCUUUGACGAAGUUGAGCACUUUCCAUGGAAGAAUAUUGAAUUUCUUGACUUAAGCUCCAAUUUGAUCAGUGGAAAUCUUCCGAUUCCAGCUUCGACCAUCAAUGUCUUUUUGAUCUCAAAUAAUAGUUUCAAUGGAGAGGUCUCUUCUUUAAUAUGCAAUGCCAGUUCUCUUCGAAUUCUUGAUUUGUCCCACAAUAACUUGAGUGGAACAAUUCCGCAAUGUUUUGGAAAUUUGAGCAACAGCCUUGAAUUCUUGAAUCUGAAGAAGAACAUGUUUUAUGGGACGAUUCCUCCAACAUUUGCAAAGGGAUGCCAAUGGAGUAAUUUCAACUUAAAUGGAAAUUUGUUAGAAGGGCCUUUGACACCAUCCAUCCUUAAUUGUAAUGGUCUGGAAGUGCUAGAUCUUGGUAACAACAAGAUCAAUGAUACAUUUCCUCAUUGGUUGGGAAAUCUUCCAUAUUUGCAAGUUCUUGUAUUGAAGUUAAAUCAUAUGCAUGAUUCCUUGCGUGUCAAUAGCUCCAAGUCUAGCCCUUUUUUCUCUAAAAUCCAAAUUUUUGACCUCUCAAGUAAUUAUUUUACUGGACCCCUACCAGUGAGAUACAUCAACAGCUUCAAGGCUAUCAUAAAUCUAGAGAAGAUUGGGAGUACAUUGUUGUACAUGGGGGUGUAUGAUCGGAUUGCUAGUGGCUUCUAUACCUAUUCCAUUGGAAUUGUUAUGAAAGGACAAGAUAUGGAAUUGGUGAAAAUUUUCACCAUGUGGAUGAUCAUUGAUCUAUCAAACAAUCAGUUUGAAGGGGGUAUUCCAAAGGUUAUUGGGAAGCUUAACUUACUGAAAGGGCUCAACCUUUCUCAUAAUAACCUUAAUGGUGGUAUCCCCACCUCAACAGGGAAUUUGACAAGUCUUGAAUGGUUAUGUAGUUUUAGAUGUUAAGGAUAGGCUGUUAUAUGAAAGGUCGCGAUGUUUUAGAUUUGGAAGGUUUGAGAACAUGCGAAGCUCUAUGACACCACUAAGAUUAUUUGAGGAUAAGCUGAGGGAGGUAAGAUUGAGAAGUUGGAAUAUUGAAGAUGGAAGAGGACCUUCGAGUUUAUUAUUUUCUAGAUCUAAAUAUUCUAGUGAUUUGGUUUGGAAUUCUUUGAUAUGACGGAAGUGUUCCAUUGAGUAAAUUGUCAAAUAACACUAAAUAUAUUAGAUUCGGAACAGCGGUUACCUCAUCUGGAAUAGAACCUUCUAAAGAAUUUUCAGAUAUUUCCAAGUAUUCCAACUGCGUUAGGUUUAGAAUUGACAAUGGAAUUUGUCCACUCAAUUUGUUUGAUCCCAAGUCUAAAUGAGUGAGUUGCAAGAGGUUUCCAAGUGAUCUUGGACCGGUCCUGAUAAGUUGGAAUCGGAGAGAACUAAAAACUUCAAGGACACAAGAUUCCCCAUCGAGUCAGGCAAUCCUCCAAAAAAAUUUGCGCCUCUAAUAAUCAAGUACUCCAAAGAUGAUAAAUUUGUGAUUGAGGCAGACAAUCCUUGAAAGAAAGAAUUUCCUGAUAGGUCUAGGUACUUUAAGGCCUGUAGAUUAUCAACCGAAUCAAUGAAUUCUGUAGAGAAGGACAUCCACGACAGAUCCAAAUGUUCGAGAUUGCUGCUCCGAUUGAACUUCAAAGUAUCAAGGUUGAGGUUUUGGUUACGUCCCAAGUUGAGGAGAUUGAGGUUUGGCAAAUCAAAAAUGUUUUUUGGGAAUUUUCCUUGCAAAUCACAACCAGCAAGACUGAGAGACCUUAGAGAAGAGGAUAGAUUCAUGAACACAUGAGCAUUAACAGAAGACAUGUUGAUUCCAUCCAAAAACAGGUGUCUGACCUCGGUUAGGUUGUGAACAAGUCCCUCCAGAGCAUAUUUGUCAAUUGUUUGUUCACCAAACACAGAGGAGGAGAGAUCAAGUGAAACCAAUUUUGACAGGUGGGAGACUUGGGAUGGGACUUCUCCUGCAAACCAUGUAUAAGAAAGCUUGUAAACCGACCGAACUCGGACCUAUCUUCAAACAUAUUAAAUACCCAUUCACUUCAAUUCUACUAUUCUUAAAUCAUUAAAGUUUUGUGGAAAAUAUGCUUCUUGGAUAAAAAUUAUUCAACACACAUGCCUUGAAUUUUAUGCAAUAAAAUAAAUCAAUAUAGGCCACACAUGCUUUGAAUUUUUAAGUAGUCCACAAUUUUGUUCGUUUGUGUGCAAGAUUCUACAUUGCUUGACAGCCAUACAUACUAAGUAAAUAGACACCCACAUUGUUUACGUAUUAUGAGGAAGAAGAUUAAGUCAAUCUACUUUGUAAUCUCAUCAAUCUUAAUUUUCUCAGUUGUUUAGGGAGUUCAAAUGAAAUACAAAAUUUUGGAAAAAAAAUGUAUCCAAUUUUGUGAAUGAAAAAUAUAUGGUAAAAAGGAUUUGGUAUGGAUACUUCGGCCCGGGUAUCAAUACUCAGAGUAAGUUAAAGCAUCAGUGGAUGAAGAAGGAUCUGGUUGGUGCAAAUGAAGUUAAAGCAUUUGUGCUGUGUCUUCAUAAUUUCUUGUUUAGUAGUCUGUCAGAAAGUUUUUCCUAUGGUGAAAAGUUGCAUUGGUAUGUGUCUGUUUUUAUGAUUGUACCAAUUCCUCUGUAUUUCAUUGCAUUUCGUACUAUUUGUAAGGGUUUAGUUCGAGUGUAACAUCUUGUAUGGUGCAACUAUGUGUGUCUUCUUUCUUGAAUUUCAAUUUUUAGUAAACAUUGUACUGCUCACCAUAAAAAAGGAUACAUGUAGAAUUACAAAAGAUUCAAUUAUUCAAGUUUGAGUUGCAUUUAUAAAGACGUGGCGAUGAGAAUUCAUGAACGUAAGGUAUGGUUUGAGCCCUUUUGCCAUAUGCAUUUAUGUUGCAGAUGUUCAAAUAUUAAUUUAAGAGUAAUAUUUACAAUAGCAUUGCAGAGUAACAUAUUUAAGAUUGGAUUACACAGUCAAAAGAUUGCAGCAACGAUGAGAUUAAUACAAUUACAGGAAUUGGUAUCCUACAUGGCUUUUAGGCACGUAGCUUCAUUGACGAUGAGAUAAUUUUAGGAGGAAGCAACAGCAAGUGUGAAGUCAAUAGACAAUUGAUAGUCUUUAUUCUUUUGUGUGGAAAAUUAUUUGGGACCAAACUUAACGUGUUAUAAGGAAGAAGACUUUGUAAUCUCAUGAAUGUUAAUUAUUUUACUUCUUUGGUAAAAAAAAAGGAAUUAAUUUUAUGAAUGAAAAAUAUAUGGUAAAAAGGAAAUAGUUGUUGAUCACUAACAACAUGAUGAUUGUGGAAAUACAAAAAUUCCCAUAUAUGUGUUGAAUUCUGCAUAAUGUAAAUGUCCCGCAUUGCAUGUGAAUUCUGCAAUAGACCAAAUUUUACGUGUUAUAGUCCUUUAAACUGAGUUAAUGAAAAGUAAUCAUUCUUAUCAAAAUUAGUUAUACUCUUAAUUUAUAAUAAAAGAAAGAGUAAUUUGAGUUUAACUCAAAGGUUAAUAUGUCAUCAAUGGGCGAUGGCAUGGCGCUACCAUGUCAGCGAUUAUUUUCUUCUUUGAGUUAAGGUGAUUUCACCAAUUUUAGUUUACUUUUUAACUUCAAUUUAGGUUUAUGCUUAUUAGCUUCGAAGAUUCUAUGUGGGUGCCACAAUCAAAGGGUGAGUAAAAAGGGUUAAAAAUAAUUUUUUUUAAAAUAUUUUUAUUUUUAUUAAAAAUUUAGAAUUAGAAUUAGACAAAUUUUGUAAAUGUUAAGGGCUAACUUUAUUGAAUUUUUUUUUUCAGAAUUCGAACUAAAAUGACAAAUUUUGUAAAAAGCGCUAAAUUUGUUGAAUUUUUUAUAUUUAAGAUCAAAUUGAUAGAAUGUGUAAAUAUUAGAGGUUAAAUUCGUUAUUAGAUAAAAAAAAUCCACAUCAGCUUUCCGUCACUCAUCUAACGACAACUAAAGGGAGAGUGAUUAAAAUAUUUAAUUUCAAAAAGUUUAGCAACUAAUUGGAAAAUUUAAUAGUUGGGUGACUAUUUUUAUAGUUUACAACUUUUUUGGUCACAUGACUAUUAAGUGACACUUUUUAGUUGGUAUAAUAAUAAUUUUUAUCCUCAAUUUUUAUACUUUCUGUCAAUUUAACUCUAAUUAUAUAAAAUGAUUACAAAAGUGAAAUUCUUUUUAAAUUUUACAAAAUUCUAAAAAUUAAAAAUUAAAUGAAAGUAGAUAAAAAUUUCAAAUAUAAAUAAAGUGAGAGAAAAUGAGGGAAAUAUUAUUUUUAAACCCUCCAAAUUUUCUUUGUAUUAUUUGUAAAGAAAUAUCUAAUAUCCAUUCUUUUAGAAAACAUAGAAAAAAGUAAAAAAAAAAAAGAUUAAGUAAAAUUAUCUGUAUAUAAUCUGCUUUUAUAAUUUGGGUUUUUAAAAAUAAAUUUAAAUGAAUUGAAAAUUCGAAUUGAGUUUGAAAAAGAAAAUUUUGUGGUAUAUUUUAUAUUUUUGCUAGAAAAAUGGCAUCAAAGUUGAUUUUGUAAGCUUUUGUAAUAUAGUUACGGAUGUUCUUCAAGGGCAUGAAACUCAACUUGAAAAUUUUACUAAUUUGGUUGCAAAAAACAUUGAGGAAGCGUAUAAUGAUCUAACCUUUUUUUUGUUUUGUUCUGUUUUUAAUUUGUUAUGGGAUUCUAUUGAAUGAUAAUUUUUUUUAUUUCCCAUACAUAUUAGUUCUUCAACAACAACAUAUUCGAGAUUUUAUUUUUCUAGAAUUUUUAUAUAGAAGUUUAUAUUUUUUAAAAAUAAUUUUGAGUUUUUUUUAUAAUUUUUAUACAGAAGUUUAUAUUUUUUAAAUUGGCAAAAAAAAUUAUAAAAACAAAAUACUAGAAUUGUUAUUAUAGCAACUACAAAGUGUCAUUUAACAAUAGGGUGACCAAAUUGUAACUUUUUUCGUUAAGUGACCAAAACGAAGAUUUACCCAUAGUUCAGUGGCUAAUUAUGUAGUUUACCUUUUCAUAAUUAAAAAAUAGUUGUUAAGUUUUUCUUGUAUUAGAUAACAUUUUAGAUGGUAAAAACCCUCUUUAGUCCCUCUCAAUUUUGAUAUUAAGUAAAUUGGUCCAUUUUAAAAAAAAUUAAAGCAAUUUAAUCUUUGUUAAUUUCGAAAGUGAGCAACUAAGAACAAUUAAUCACAAUGUCAAUAUUUUCCAUCAAUUGUACAUAUUUUUAUUGGUAUAAUAACAAGUUUAUAAACUUGUUUACAUAUUCUGUCAAUUUGAUCUUGAUUUAACAAAUUUAUCCCGCAACAAUUACAUAUUCUAUUAACAUUUACAUAUAAUAUAUAAACAUCGAGAGCUUAUUUUGUUAUUAUAUCAAUAAAAAAUAUAUACAAUUUACAGAAAGUAUUAACACAAUGAUUAAUUGUUCUUAGUUGCUCCCAUUCAAAAUUGAUAAUGAUUAAAUUGCUCUAAUUUUCUGAGAGGAAUCAAUUUGUUCAAUAUAGAAAUUGAGAGGGACGAGAAAUGUGUUUUUAUCCAUUUUAGAUACCAACAAGUGUUUGGCGUAGUGGCAAAUCAUAUUACAUUCUCAAGGAGAUAAUGCGUAUUCAGACGUUGGAGAUAAUAAUGUUGUGUGCGGUAUCCACCGAUCUUGAACACGAAUUGUAAAACAUAUAUAAAGAAUAAAAAAAUAACAUCUUAAUUUAAAUAAUUAAUAAAUUUUAAUUUGAAAAAAUUAUUUUGAGAAACAUAAGUUUUAGUAAGUAGUAAAACUGAAUUAAUUUGAAUUUAAACUUAACGCAACUCGAUUUGAUUAUAAAGAAGUGAUAAUUUGAAUCCAAAAUGACAUGAUCUUAAAAUGAUUUGAAUUAAUUGUCAAACCCGAACGACAAAACUCGAAAUGAUGCAAUCCAAAAACGCUGGUUAAAAUGAUGCAAUCCAAUCGUAGUAAGUUUAACCUGCUGCUUUAGAUUUUGCAUUUUGGUUAAUUGGCUUGUGUUAUGUGUUUCUCUGGCAUCAGCCGAUAUGUGGAUUUGCCUCUCGUGAUGCACUACCAUUCAAGAAGCAUAAUGAUUUGUUCUACAUUGAUGACAAAGAUGUGGAGUUUAAAGAAGUAAGAACUGAUCAACAAUAUUCGAGGUUCUGUUGUAUGUUGCCUUAUUAAAUAAGUCUUCACUUAAAUUCCUAUGUUGCCUUAUGUAUGUAGGUUCUUGAGUCACCUUUACCAAAAGCACCACUUGAUACAUCUGUUACAUCCCACUGGCUUGCGAUUGAAGGCAUUCAACCAGCAAUUCCCGAAAAUGCUUCAAUUGAAGGUACCGUCUUAGCUAACCUAAAUAUUUUCUCGAAGCUAUUUGUGUUGAAUACUCUCAUGGUUCAUGUUCUUUUCUGGUUUUAUCACUUUAAUCUAAUACGACUUAUCUUCAUUUCUACAUGGAAUUGGUAGUUUGCUUUCCAUGCAGCACCUUCUGAUGGUAAAAAGGCUGAAUACAAAGAAGAUGGGCUUUCCGUUGAUGUCAAAUUACCUGUUAAGCAUGUAUUAUCUAGAGAGCUUCAAGUAUGUUGUACAUCUUCAGCAACAUUUUUAUGUUAAAAUACAUUUUGCACAGAAUGUUAUUAAAAGACUAAUUUGGUUGUCAUGCAGCUUUACUUUGACAAGAUCGUGGACAUUACCAUGAAUAAAUCAGUCUCAGUUCUCUUUAAACAAGCAUUACUGAGUUUGGCAACAGACUCGGGAUUACAUCCUUUAGUUCCUUAUUUUACAUAUUUCAUUGCGGAUGAGGUUGUCUUAAAGAUCUUUGAUACCUCAUUAUAUAUGUGUGUUGCAAAGAACUUUUGGUUGGUUAUCUCAAGCUUACAUUUUUGCCACAUUUAUCUCAGGUUGCACGGAAUUUGAAUAAUUUCCCUCUCAUGUUUGCUUUGAAGCGUAUUUGCAGCUUCUUGAACCUGAAAUAAAAAGACACGAGGCCUGGUGUGUUUAUGGGGCCCUGCUGGUAAGUUUAACAUCAAAUUUGGUACCAGUUUAUGAGCAUCGUUUCAUUUAUUUGCUGUAGAACUAACAACACUGCAUAAAAUUUCCACUAACAGCGUGCAGCUGGACUGUGCAUGUAUGAUCGGCUUAAAAUGUUCCCCAGUUUGCUAGCACCCCCAACUCGUCCCAUCUGGAAAAGCAACAACAAAGUUGCGACAAGUAUGAUUUCUUCGAACCAUCAUAUUUACACUUAAUCCACAAGUCUCUUCUCCCCCUUUACGAUAUUCCUUUUUCUGAUCAAUCAAGAUAAACGAAAAGCAAGCACGGACACCUUGAUGCAGCAGCAACCACCUGCCAAGAAAAUAGCAACUGAGAGUGCAAUAGGUAUGAUGCCGAUAAAUUCCACGCAAACUGAUUUACAAGGGGCAGUUAGCGGCUUUUCUACCACCGUAGGAGGUUCCAAUAUCGGUGUAUCAUCAAUGUCACGGCCGUUAUCAAACGAAAACAUGCUAGGAAGGGAGGUUGGGGGUCGAGUUUCAAAGACAUCAACCGUUCUAGCUCAGGCUUGGAAGGAAGACACAGACCCGGGGAACUUGUUAGCAUCAUUAUUUGAACUUUUUGGUGAAAGUAUGUUAUCAUUUACUCCCAAACCUGAGCUUUCAUUCUUCCUUUGAUUAAAUUUCACCUCCAAAAGCUAUGGUUUUUGAAGGAAUUUGUGUAAAUUAUCCCCAUAUUCUUUUCAUUCUUACUGUGUUUAUCUUUGUAAGUCUUCCUUUUUUCCUUGCUCAUAAAUGUAUUGUAGUUAUCAAAAAAUAUAUUCUACUUUGGAUUUUAUUUAUAUUAAAAUUUAGGUUAAAUUCUGCUAUUAGUCUCUGUACUUUACGAAAAUGAUGGAUUUAGUCCUUAUACCUUAAUUUGAUCAAUUUUAGUCAUUGUAUUUUUUGAAUUGGUCAAUUUUAAACCAUUUACUUUUUGAAUUUUGAAAUUUUAGUCUUGAUUCAAAUAAUAUUAAUAAUAAUUAAUACCUAAACAAUGCUCCUUUUCCCAAGGUACCUAAUUUUUAUUUUGGCCAUAAGUAUUACUAAAACUAUUCUUCCAUUACUCAUUUUACACCAAAAUGUUAUAUCGGCUAAAAAGAUUCCAACAAAUAAUAGAUUGUAUGUCAUAUAAGCUUUUAAAAAUAAUUAUUAAUUAAUUAAUUUUUUUAUAUUUUUCUUUCUUAUUCCUUUAUAAUGUUUGACAAUGCCGAUAAUGUUUGAAAUUGGCCCACUUGAGGUCGAAACGUUGGUGAUUAAUUUUGGUUUUGAAUUUCACCACCUACUUCUCUGACCUGAGGGAAACUAGUGUUUUCAAAAACAGAUUGAUUCAACUAGUUGGAUAGGAAAUCGGUCCGGAAAUAGGGGUUGAAUCGAUUGACUUGCGAACAAAAACAAAUCGGUUGAACUAGUUCUCUCCAUUUAUAUUUAUAUAAAUAAUAAUAGUUUUUUUUUACUACAUGUCAAUUUUUAAUUGGUUAAUUUUUUUUUUCAUAUAAACUGAACGGUUUGACUAAUGACGGAGGUACCAAAUUUUAGUCUAGGUACCAAUUUAUGGGUUAAGCCUAUUUCUAAAAUAGACUUUUGACUAAUGGCAGUAGUAACUUGGGAAAAAAAAGUAGUUUAUGUACCACUUGUGACAAAAAAUAAGUUUAGGUACCAACAUGGGAAAAUGAGUAUAAUUUAGAUACCGAUUUAUGAGUUAAGCCUAAUAUAUUUGUCGCAUCAUUUUUUGAAAAUAACAAAACUUAAUAAAUUUAACGGUUAUUGUUUGGUGAUGACUAAAAUUUUAAAAUUUGAAAAGUAGAUGAACUAAAAAUGACCAAAUUAAAGUAUAAAGAUUAAGUCCACAACUUUUGCAAAGUAUAAGGACUAAUAGCAGAAAUUAACCUAAAUUUCAUAUGGGUCAAUUACAAAAAUAAUCACUAAACUAUUCCUUUAGUUCUAUUCUAGUCACUCAACUAUAGAGGUGCUCAUGAGCCUGGCCAGGUCAGGCCUAAGCAUGAUAUUAAAGUACUUUAUGCUUGCUCAAGCUCGGCUCGGCCCAAAAUAUGAGCUUAAAAUUUUGCCUAAACUCAUCCAUAUUUGCAAAAGACUAACCCAAGCUCAUUUUAGGCAUGCCCAUAUAAUUUUUAGUUUUUUUUUUAAAUAUUUAUAUUAUAUUAUUUUAAUAUUUAAUAAUUUAAAUAUUUUUUAUUUAUUGAAAAUUUUUAUAUAGUCAUCUUAACAUUAUUUUAAUGUUUACAUUAUAGUAUUAUUAUAUAUUUAAUAUAAGUUUAUUUUUUUAAUCUGUUCUAAAUUAUAAAAUAUAAAGUAUUAUACACUUAAAAAUGGGCCGGGCUGGGCUCGAGCUUUGAAUGUUCAAGCCUAAACCCAGCUCAUAUUUUAAACGGGCCUAAUUUAUCACCCUUUGAUUUAUCAAAAUUUAUAACAAAUGAGAUUUUAGAUUUGAAUUAUGAGGCUAUAUAUAUAUAUAAGUAUACACAUUUUUAUGAAAUACAAAAUUUUGCUAAAACAAAAAGCAUAUAAAAGUAUACACGUUUUUAUGAAAUAAAAGAAAAAGCAUCCAAUUUUGAGAAUGAAAAAUAUAUGGUAAAAGCAUCCAUAACUUUUCAAUGUUAAAGAAAAAAAAGACUUAACACCAAUGUUGUGGUAUUAUUUGUUGCCUAUAAAUACCAUUCCUAUCCUUCAUCUUCCUCUACCAACAUAACAUGGCCCCCUGUCUCUUUCUCUGCCUAUUCCUCUUCUUUCCCCAUCUUUAUGCUUCUUUUUCUUCUUCAGGAUCUCACUCCUGCUCUUUACUAAUCCAGUUCAAGAACUCUUUUUCCAUAACAGAGGCUGCUUAUUCGUCUUGCGGCCCUAAAUCUUAUCCCAAGACAAAUUCAUGGAAGGAGGGUACAGAUUGCUGCUCAUGGGAUGGGGUCACUUGUGACCACCUAAAUGCUCAUGUUAUUGCCCUUGACUUGAGCUGCAGUUGCCUAUAUGGCACCUUCCCUUCCAAUACCACUCUCUUCCUUCUUCCUCACCUUCAAAAACUCAACCUUGCCGGCAAUGAUUUUAAUCUUUCCAAAAUUCCAUCCGAUUUCGGUCAGUUUACAAGCCUAUUCUACCUCAACCUUUCUUAUACAGGGUUUGUAGGAGAAGUCCCAUCCCAAGUCUCCCACCUGUCAAAAUUGGUUUUACUCGAUUUCUCCUCUUGGCCUGCUUUCUCUAUGCAAUAUAGAAUGGACAAACAUGCUCUGGAGGGACUUGUUCACAACCUAACCGAGGUCAGACAUCUGUUUUUGGAUGGAAUGGACAUGUCUUCUGUUAAUGCUCAUGUCUUCAUGAAUCUAUCCUCUUCUCUAAGGUCUCUCAGUCUUGCUGGUUGUGGUUUGCAAGGAAAAUUCCCAAAAAACAUUUUUGAUUUGCCAAACCUCAAUCUCCUCUACAUGGGAGGCAACCAAUUGAGUGGACAAAUUCCAAGAUCAUUGGGGAACCUCUUGCAGCUCACUCAAUUAGACUUAUCGGGGAUCCAAUUGAGUGGACAAAUUCCAUUAUCAAUUCUAAACCUAACGCAGCUUGAAUACUUAGGCUUAUCUGACAAUUUACUAACCUAAUAUAUUUAGGCUUAUCUGACAAUUUACUCAACGGAACACUUCCGUCAUGGUUGUAUACUGCUCCCUCCUUAAAGACAAUAUAUCUCUCUCAAAAUCAAUUCAGUGGGCAUAUCAAAGAAUUCCAAUCCAAAUCACUAGAACGGAUAUGGUUAGAGAAUAAUAAACUCCAAGGUCCUCUUCCAUCUUCAAUAUUCCAACUUCUCAAUCUUACAUCGCUUGCUUUAUCCUCAAAUAAUCUUAGUGGUGUCAUAGAGUUUAGCAUGUUCUCAAACCUUCCAAAUCUCAAAUAUCUCCACCUUUCAUGUAACAGCCUAUCCUUAACAUUUAAUACUACUUCUACUGUUAAUCUUACAGACUUAUUUUUGUCAUCUUGCAAUCUUAGUGAAUUCCCCAGUUUUUAAAAGGGCUGAAAAGUUUGGAAAGCUUAGACCUCUCUUGCAACAAUAUUGAAGGCAAGAUUCCACAGUGGAUGCAAGAGAUGGGGAAUGACUCUUUGACUUUCUUAAACGUAUCUCACAACUCUUUGACAGAAGUUGAGCACUUUCCAUGGAAGAAUAUUGAAUUUCUUGACUUAAGCUCCAAUUUGAUCCGUGGAAAUCUUCCGAUUCCAGCUUCGACAAUCAAUGUCUUUCUGAUCUCAAAUAAUAGAUUCAAUGGAGAGGUCUCUUCUUUAAUAUGCAAUGCCAGUUCUCUUCAAAUUCUUGAUUUGUCCCACAAUAACUUGAGUGGAACAAUUCCACAAUGUUUUGGAAAUUUGAGCAACAGCCUUGAAUUCUUGAAUCUGAAGAAGAACAAGUUUUAUGGGACGAUUCCUCCAACAUUUGCAGAGGGAUGCCAAUUGACUAAUUUCAACUUAAAUGGAAAUCUGUUAGAAGGGCCCUUGACACCAUCCAUCCUUAAUUGUAAGGGUCUGGAAGUGCUAGAUCUUGGUAACAACAAGAUCAAUGAUACAUUUCCUCAUUGGUUGGGAAGUCUUCCACAGCUACAAGUUCUUGUAUUGAAGUCAAAUCAUAUGCAUGGUCCCUUAUGUGUCAAUAGCUCCAAGUCUAGCCCUUUUUUCUCUAAAAUCCAAAUUUUUGACCUCUCAAAUAAUUAUUUUUCUGGACCCCUACCAGUGAGAUACAUCAACAGCUUCAAGGCUAUCAUAAAUCUAGAGAAGAUUGGGAGUACAAUGUCGUACAUGGGGAUGAAUGAUCCUCAAGGUGGCUUCUAUACCUCCAAAUGUGCUUGAAAAAGAUGGCCCAAAAUCAAACAUUACUUUUGGUUGGAAAGUGGUGUUGAUAGGUUAUGGAUGCGGAGUGGUGUUCGGAAUGUCCGUGGGAUAUGUUGUUUUCCAAACUGGUAAGCCGAAAUGGUUGGUGAAUUUGGUUGAAAUCCAACAUGAGAAGAAGUGAAGACGAAAGUCAAAGGAUGGCAGCCGCAGCAAUGGACGAAGAAGGAUCUAGUUAGUGGAAAUGGUGCUCAAGUGUUGAUGUUGUAUCUUCAUAAUUUCUUGUUUUGAAGUCUUUCAAUUUUUUUCCUAUGGUGAAAGGUUGCAUUGCCAUGCAUCUGUCUUUAUUAUUGUAACCAUUCAUCUAUAUUUCACUGCAUUAUGCAGUAUUAUGUCUUCUUUCAUGACUUUGAUUUUUGAGUCUCAAUAAUCUCUGCAUUCAAGAUUUUGUCAGCUUAUUAAUUGGUGGAUCAAUAAUCUUCAUGCUCAUCUCAUCAUCUUUUUCUCGAGUUAAACACAAUUUCUUCCGUGUGGAAAAUAAUUUGGCAUUCUGCAAAUUUCCACAAUGCUGGUAGAUUACCUUCGGUUGACAGCUAUACAUAUCAAGGAAGGAAACAAGACCAUGUCAAAAUUUUCAAAAAUUAGCCAUUGAUUUUGAACAGUUAAACUUUCGUAUUCUAUUGUUCAAAAUUGUAAAUUCUCGAAUAAUGUAAAUUAGUCCUAAAACUCAAGUUUUGAAAUCUUUACAAUUUAACCCCUUAUAGUUUCAAACUUUACUAUUUUAUGCUCAACUUUCUAAAUUUUCAUAUUUCAUGAUCAUAUAAUUUAGUUACUACAUCAAUAUUUCAGAUUUCACUACUCAAAUCCUUACUUCAAAUUUAUCAAAUUAAAUCAUUUUUCAAUUUGAAUGCAUUGAUGUGAAAUUGAGGGAGCACUAAACAAUGUUGAUGCGAGUUUAGGCAAAAUUGGUGGAUCCCAUCUCCUUAGUAAUUUCUUUAUGGAAGUAGCUGCUUUCACACUGCAAACUUGGAUAGUUUGUGGUGGACGAUGAUGAAUCAUUUCACAAUCAAACAUACCAUUUUUAAACACAAAAUUAAUGAUAUAUUGAAAUCAUUAUUGAAAUUGUAAUCAAAAUUAAUACAUGUUUUUUUUAUUAGCUUAAGGGCGUAAAAGCCCUUCAAAAUUUUUAAAAAAAAAAUUUAAGUCCCUCUUUUUUUUUUCUUUUUUUUUUACACUCAAUUGAGCACUUAAACUUUUAAAAUGUAUCAAAAAUAUCUUUACACUUCUUCAAAAAAAGCAAUUAAACCCCCCUUUUUUUUUCCACUCAAUUGGGUACUUGAACUUUCAUAAUGCAUAAAAAAAACCUUAAUUUUUUUUUCAAAGAAACAAUUAAGCCUCUAUUUUUUCCCCACUCAAUUUGGGUACUUGAACUUUCAUAAUGCAUCAAAAAGGCCUUAAAUUUUUUUCAAAAAAGCAAUUAAGCCCCUACUCUUAUUAAAAAUUAGAAAAAGAAUCAUAAAAAUAAUAAAUUUUAGAAAAAAAUUAUUAAAUUUUAAUAAAAAUUUAAAAACUUAUUAAAAAUUAGAAUUUUUUUAGAAAAAUAGUCAAAACUAAAAAAUUAUAAAAAUCAUAAAAAAAAUCCAUCAAAAGUCCUUUUAACAAUUAACUUUAAAUAUUGAUCGUUAAAGUUAACGACCUCUAGUUUUUUCAAUUAAAGUCAUUAUGUGUCGCAACUCAACAUGACAUAUAGCGAAAAUAGAUAAAAAAGUAAAAAUCAAUAAAAGUUAUAGAAAAAUUAUAAAAAAUUUCUUUUGGUACAAUAAUUUUUAUAAAAUUUUUUUUUACCAAAUUUAUAUUUCUUUACAAUUUGUAUAAUUUUCUUAUGACUUUAUAAAAUUUUAUAAUUUUUUAUAUUUCUAUAUAUUUUUUAAAUUUUUAAAUUUUUAUAAAAUUUUACAAUUUUUAUAUAUUUUUUAAUAAUUUUUAAUAUUUGAAUUUUUUAUUAAAAUUUAAUAAUAUUAUAGAUUUUAUUGAUUUUAAUUUUUUCUCUAAUUUUUAAUAAAAGUAGGGGCUUAAUUGCUUUUUUUGAAAAUGUUUGAGGGCCUUUUUGAUGUAUUUUGAAAGUUCAAGUUCCCAAAUGAGUGUUAAAAAAAAAAGAACAGGGGUUUAGUUGCUAUUUUUGAAAACGUUUCUUUUUGUACCCUUAAACCUCUUUUGUUUUUCUAAAUUUAAUUUAGAACCAACUUUGUGUAAAGAAAAUUUCCAGUCUGGUGGAAAAUACAAAUUUUUCCACAUCCAAUCUGGGUCUUUGUCGUGAUUUGUUGGUUGGCUAUGGCCUUGUUGUUGUUUCCACUGCCUCUGGUCUUUGUUUCUAAGUCAUAUGUGGCCUUGUUUGGUAGACCUUAGUUGCUAAGUUAAAGGGAGUGAAUAGAGCACCAUAAAAAAAAAUACAUGUAGAAUUACAAAAGAUUCAAUUAUUCAAGUUUGAGUUGCAUUUAUAAACACGUGAUGAUGAGAAUUCAUGAACAUAAGGUAUGGUUUGAGCCCUUUUGCCUUAUGCAUUUAUGUUGCAGAUGUUCAAACAUGGAAUAAUUCAACCUGCCUUUGUGUAUUCUUAAUUUUGUGCCAAACCUAAAUAUCUAUCGACAAAUUUAAGAGUCAUAUUUACAACAGCAUUGCAGAGUAACACAUUUAAGAUUCGAUUACACUGUCAAAAGAUUGCAGCAACGAUGAGAUUAAUCCAAUUACAGGAAUUAAUAUCCUAAAUGGCUUUUAGGUACGUAGCUUCAUUGACAACAUGAUAAUUGUGGAAAUACAAAAAUUCCCAUAUAUGUGUUGAAUUCUGCAUAAUGUAAAUGUCCCGCAUUGCAUGUGAAUUCUGCAAUAGACCAAACUUUACGUGUUAUAGUCCUUUAAACUGAGUUAAUAAAAAGUAACCAUUCUUAUCAAAAUUCGUUAUACUCUUAAUUUAUAACAAAAGAAAGAGUAAUUUGAGUUUAACUCAAAGGUUAAUAUGUCAUCAAUGGGCGAUGGCGUGGCGCUACCAUGUCAGCGAUUAUUUUCUUCUUUGAGUUGAGGUGAUUUCACCAAUUUUAGUUUACUUUUUUACUUCAAUUUAGGUUUCAGCUUAUUAGCUUCGAAGAUUCUAAGUGGGUGCCACAAUCAAAGGGUGAGUAAAAAGGGUUAAAAAAUGAUUUUUUUAAAAAUAUUUUUAUUUUUAUUAAAAAUUUAGAAUUUGAAUUAGACAAAUUUUGUAAAUGCUAAAGGCUUUAUUGAAUUUUUUUUUCAGAAUUCGAACUAAAAUGACAAAUUUUGUAAAAAGCGCUAAAUUUGUUUAAUUUUUAUAUUUAGGAUCAAAUUGAUUGAAUGUGUAAAUAUUAGAGGUUAAAUUUGUUAUUAGAUCAAUAAAAAAAAACCCACAUCAGCUUUCCGUCACUCAUCUAAUGAAAACUAAAGGGAGAGUGAUUAAAAUAUUUAAUUUCAAAAAUUUUAGCAACUAAAUUGGAAAAUUUAAUAGUUGGGUGACUAUUUUUGUAGUUUACAACUUUUUUGGUCACCUGACUAUUAAGUGACACUUUUUAGUUGGUAUAAUAAUAAUAAUUUUACUCCUCAAUUUUUUAUACUUUCUGUCAAUUUAACUCUGAUUAUAUAAAAUGAUUACAAAAGUAAAAUUCUUUUUAAAUUUUACAAAAUUCUAAAAAUUAAAAAUUAAAUGAAAGUAGAUAAAAAUUUCAAAUAUAAAUAAAGUGAGAGAAAAUGAGGAAAAUAUUAUUUUUAAACCCUCCAAAUUUUCUUUGCAUUAUCUGUAAAAAAAUAUCUAAUAUCCAUUCUUUUAGAAAAUAUAGAAAAAAAGUAAAAAAAGAUUAAGUAAAAUUAUCUGUAUAUAAUCUGCUUUUAUAAUUUGGGUUUUUAAUAAUAAAUUUAAAUGAAUUGAAAAUUCGAAUUGAGUUUGAAAAAGAAAAUUUUGUGGCAUGUUUUAUAUUUUUGCUUGAAAAAUGGCAUCAAAGUUGAUUUUGUAAGCUUUUGUAAUAUUAGUUACGGAUGUUCUUCAAGGGCAUGGAACUCAACUUGAAAAUUUUACUAAUUUGGUUGCAAAAAACAUUGAGGAAGCAUAUAAUGAUCUAACCUUUUUUUUUUUGUUUUGUUCUAUUUUUAAUUUGUUAUGAGAUUCUAUUGAAUGAUAAUUUUUUUUAUUUCCCAUUCAUAUUACUUCUUCAACAACAACAUAUUCGAGAUUUUAUUUUUCUAGAAUUUUUAUAUAGAAGUUUAUAUUUUUUAAAAAUAAUUUUGAGUUUUUUUAUAAUUUUUAUAUAGAAUCGAGGUAAAUUGGCAAAAAGAAUUAUAAACAUAGAAUACUAAAAUUGUUAUUAUAUUAACUAAAAAGUGUCAUUUAACAAUAGGGUGACCAAAUUGUAAUUUUUUUAGUUAAGUGACCAAAACGAAGAUUCACCCAUAGUUUAGUGGCUAAUUAUGUAGUUUACCCUUUCAUAAUUGAAAAAAUAGUUGUUAAGUUUUUUGUAUUAGAUAACAUUUUAGAUGGUGAAAACCCUCUUUAGUCCCUCUCAAUUUUGAUAUUAAGUAAAUUGGUCCAUUUUUAAAAAAAUCAAAGCAAUUCAAGGAGAAUGCAUAUUCAAGCGUUGGAGAUAACAAUGUUGUGUGGGGUAUCCACGGAUCUUGAACACGGACUAUAAAACAUAUAUAAAGAAUAAAAAAAUAACAUCUUAAUUUAAAUAAUUAAUAAAUUUUAAUUUGAAAAAAGUAUUUUGAGAAACAUAAGUUUUAGUAAGUAGUAAAAUUGAAUCGAUAAAAAUGUUCGGUAUAUCAGAAUCAUAAAAAUACAACCUAAUUAAUUUGAAUUUAAACUUAACUCAACUCGAUUUGAUUAUAAAAAACUGAUAAUUUGAAUCCAAAAUCACAUGAUCUUGAAAUGAUUUGAAUUAAUUGUCAAACCCGAACGACAAAACUCGAAAUGAUGCAAUCCAAAAACACAAAUCAAGUGAACUAAACUAUGAAAGAAAAAAAAAAAACCUUACACCGACUCAAAUCCAAAAUAAUUUAAUCCUAAAAUAACCCAAAUUUUAUAUAAUAUAAACUCGAAAUAACCCGAAAAUUUUUAAAUUAAAAUUGACCCGAGCCAAAUUCACACCACCUAAAAUCAAUCAUAACCACCUAAUUAAAAAGCAUGAAAUGAAAUGAUGUAAAGAGAAAAUCAGAGAAAACCAAAUAGAAAGUAACAAGCUUUUUUCAGAAUUGAAAACAAAUUCCGUACAUUCACGACAUGCAUAAAACAACAAUGGUUUAUAGAAUUUGAGUUUUAGUCCCUGUACUUUAAAAGUUAAUUUUUCUUAAUUUAAAAAUUUUAGUUUAAUUAUUUAUGAUGGUUGUAGUUUCCGUUAGCUUAUCAACAUGUUAAAUUACUAAAUUUUGACAGAAAAUACUUACGAGUUUAAUGAUUAUUGCGAGAUUUUUAAAUAAAAAAGUUCGAAAGACUUAAUUUCUAACCUUUUAAAUAUAGGGACUAAAAGCAUCUUUUAACUUUGAUAUUAUUAUUAUAAGCAGGGAUAAUGUCACCUUUGGCAUCUGUACUUUCAUAAAAUGUUUAGUGGUACAAGUACUUUGAAAAUAUAUAAUGUGGUACCUGAACUAUCAAUAUGUGUUAUUAUUAUGGUACAUGUACUUUGAAAAUGUUUAAUGUGGUACCUAAACUAUCAAUAGAUGUUUUAUUAUGAUACUUGGUAAAGACGGACUAUUAUGGUGGCUUAGGGGGCUCUUUGUCCCGUCUCCCCUGCAAAAAAAAAAAAAAGAGUUCGGAGAAUUUUAUUUUUUCCUUUGAAAUCUUUAGAAAAUUUCAAUUAAGCCCCCAAAAUUUUUGAAAAUUUUCAUUAUACCUUUUAAUUUUUUUUUGAAAAUUUUAAUUAAGCACUUUUAAAAUUUUGAAAAUUCUCAUUAAUCUCACAAAAAAUUUAAAAUUUUUUAUUAGACCCCCAAAAUUUUUUUUUUAAAAAUCUUAUUAAACCAUUAAAUUUUUAGAAAAUUUUACUUGCCCCCUCCCCCCCCCCCCCAAAAAAAAAAACCUAGUUCCAACUCCCAGUAUCCGCCAUUGGUACUUGGUAUUAACACUAUUAGAAAAUUGCUAAAUCAACUAAUGAAAAUUUGACACAUAGAACCCUUUUUUUUUUAAUUAUCAAGUCCACGUGGAUAAUAUAAUAGUGAAAAACUAAAUAAAACAAUAAUUAAAUGAAAUUAAAAAAACAAAUAACUAAACAUAUGGUUAAUAAAAAAAACCCGUACUUUCAAAGAUAAUAAAAAAUAUUAUUUAAAAAUCAAUUGAAAAUAUUAUUUUAAAGGGAAAACUCUUUGGAGAAGAUGAUCAUUUGCUUAAAUGGAGAAUAUAAUAUUUUUGGUUAUGUAAAUUUAAUUUAAUUGUUUUAUUUAGUUUUCACAUAAUGUUAUUUUAUACAUGUGGACUUGAUGAAUUAGAAAAAGAAAAAUUGCGUGUCAAAUUUUCAUUUGUUGGUCUAACAAUUCAUUAAUGGUGUUAACAUUAAGUACCAUAAUAAAACAUAUAUUGAUAGUUCAUGUACCACAUUAGACAUUUUCAAAGUACGAAUACUACAUUAGACAUUUUAUAAAAAAUACAUGUACUAUAAUAGAACACAUAUUAAUAAUUUAGAUACACAUUAAACAUUCUAUGAAAUUACCAUUACGAAAUGUGAUAUUAUCUCUUACAAGUAUUUGAUGAGUAGGUAUAUAAGGACAAGCAGAACCACAAUUCCAAUGACAGCUAAAGGCAUGCACAUACACGACAAUCCGCCAUUGAUGUGCUUGUUCAUAAUUACCAUGUUUUUCUGCACUCUCUGAUACAACAAAGAAAAGAAAACACAAUACAAAAUUAAAACUCUAAACAACCCAAAAUUUUUUCGGGCCAGAAAUGGUCCGAAAAUUUUAAGGGUAAACUAUAUUGGUAGCCACCUAACUAUUAAUAAAUUUCUUAGUUACUCAACUAUGAAAAGAUAUUUUUGUAUAUUUUCGAUGAAGAUUUGUUAUUUUUAUUUAUUAUUAAUAAACUUGUUCUUUUUAGUCCAUUUUUGUCAUUGUAGUAAUUUAUCAUCAAAUUUGGGAAAGAAUGCCCCAUUUCUAAUACAUGAUUAUCAUAUCAAAUUGUAGUUAUUCCUAUCUAGUAAUAAACUAACCCCAAUUUAGUCUGAAAGUAGUUAAAUCACUUAAGUUUGUUGCUUAGUUUUGUUGAUAUGGACAAUUAAAAAAAUCAUAAUAUAUAUUUCCAACAAAUAUUUUCGAUAAGAUAAACUCAAAAGUAAUUCUCAAAAUUGUAGAGAAUUUUAUUACUGGAGUGAAAAAAACAUUACGAAUCAGUAAAAUAAAGUAUCGUGAAGAAAUGAUAGAGAGGAAAAUUGAAACAAACCUUGAAAAAUAAGUGUGGUUGUAAGUAAGAUGCUGGAAGCAAUAGAGGGCUGAGAAAAGUGAGAGCUACAAUGAUUGUCGUGAUUGUAGAAAGAAACGUACAGAGAGAAUUGUUAGAAUACUCAAGUUUAUGGAGAGAAUUGAGAGGGUUUAGUGUUCCCAAAAAGAAGAAGGAAAAACACAUAUAUCAUAAUGAGGUUACACUCACGUCUUAUUUAUGGUAAGCAAAGCAUUACUUAUAUGGUUUCUGUUUAACGAGAAAGGGAAGAACUUGUAUUAGAGGAAAGUGUUAAGAAGUGUCUUCUUAACAAUGUCUGUGUUUUGAGCUUCCAAGAUAUGCACUUAAGGCAUCUCAAUAGAGGAGCAAUUCAAUAAUUAUACCAAUCUUUCGGGACUAACUCUACAACCUUUGCAUAGUUGCAAUCCAAGAAUCCUGCAACCUUCUAAGGCUAGCUACACAACAUUUACGUAUUUGCAUGUAUUUUUUUUUCCAUAACACCAACUCCAACAACUUCACUUUUAUUUAUCGAAAGAAAUUGUAUUUCUUGAAACUAUUAUUUACAAAAUAUUAUUAACCAAAAUCAAGUAUCCACAAUAAUUAAUACUAAUUAAUUCAAAGAUUUUCAAUGCUAAGAAUGGAACCCAAAUUCAGCCUUUGCUACUAACCUACUAAUAAACAAAAAAAAAAUAUAUAUAUAAUAUAUAUAGGUGAAGUUAGAAAGUUUAAAAUUGAAUUAUAAAUUUUUAAAAGAGUAAAAGUUGUUAUACUAACUUAAAAUUUUAUAACUUUUUAAUUUUGUGGAGCUAAAAUCUUUGCCUAUCCUCUAACAGUGCUCAGUAUUUCUCUCAUAAUUUUUUAUUUUUUAUUAUUCUUUUUCCUUUUUAGUUGAAAAUAGUGCUAAUUAAUGUUAUUUGUUAGUAUAAUUUUGUUAGAAUCUUAUGAAUCUUUCAUGAUGUACUAUAUCUUGAUUUGUUAGGCUAAUGUGAUAAUUUCUACUUCAUGUGUAUUAAUCCAUAAAUUUUAUCAAAAGUGGAAUUUUGAAAACUUAGUUUUGGAAGUUUGAAUAUUAAGUUUAACCUCCUGCUUUAGAUUUUGCAUUUUGGUUAAUUGGCUUGUGUUAUGUGUUUCUCUGGCAUCAGCCGAUAUGUGGAUUUGCCUCUCGUGAUGCACUACGAUUCAAGAAAGCCGCUGGGCAUAAGGAUUUGUUCUACAUUGAUGACAAAGAUGUGGAGUUUAAAGAAGUAAGAACUUAUCAACAAUAUUCGAGGUUCUGUUGUAUGUUGCCUUAUUAAAGAAGUCUUCACUUAAAUUCUUCUAUGUUGCCUUACGUAUGUAGGUUCUUGAGUCACCUUUGCCAAAAGCACCACAUGAUACAUCUGUUACAUCCCACUGGCUUGUGAUUGAAGGCAUUCAACCAGCAAUUCCAGAAAAUGCUUCAAUUGAAGGUACCGUCUUAGCUAACCUAAAUAUUCUCUCGAAGCUAUUUGUGUUGAAGACUCUCAUGGUUCAUGUUCUUUUCUGGUUUUAUCACUUUAAUCUAAUACGAUUAUCUUCAAUUCUACAUGGAAUUGGUUCUGAUGGUAAAAAGGCUGAAUACAAAGAAGAUGGGCUUUCCGUUGAUGUCAAAUUACCUGUUAAGCAUGUAUCAUCUAGAGAGCUUCAAGUAUGUUGUACAUCUUCAGCAACAUUUUUAUGUUAAAAUACAUUUUGCACAGAAUGAUAUUAAAAGACUAAUUUGGUUGUCAUGCAGCUUUACUUUGACAAGAUCGUGGACAUUACCAUGAAUAAAUCAGUCUCAGUUCUCUUUAAACAAGCAUUACUGAGUUUGGCAACAGACUCGGGAUUACAUCCUUUAGUUCCUUAUUUUACAUAUUUCAUUGCGGAUGAGGUUGUCUUAAAGAUCUUUGAUACCUCAUUAUAUAUGUGUGUUGCAAAGAACUUUUGGUUGGUUAUUUCAAGCUUACAUUUUUGCCACAUUUAACUCAGGUUGCACGGAAUUUGAAUAAUUUCCCUCUCAUGCUUGCUUUGAUGCGUGUUGCCCGGAGUCUUCUCCAGAAUGAACACUUACACAUAGAACCUUACGUGAGUUUAUUAUUUCAAUCAUUUAGAAGUACACGAACUAAUGCAAAUAUGCUAGUGGUUUAUUUUCCACCUAUCUGAUUUUUUAAAAUGUUCUUCAGUUACACCAGUUGAUGCCUUCUAUUAUUACCUGCCUCGUUGCAAAAAGGUUAGGAAAUAAAUUCACCGACAAUCAUUGGGAACUUAGAAACUUCGCAGCAAAGCUAGUGGCAUCAUUAUGCAAAAGGUGAAGAUUUCUUUUCUUUUGGACUUAUACAUGCAUUUUCGUUUUUAUGAAUUUCAGGUGUCUGAUUUUUGAGUUAUAAACUUGGAUCUAUUCUUCAAAUCAUGUGUAUAUCACUUUUAUGUUAUUUCACACAUGCAAAACAUAUGGUGCAAAUGAUGUUGAAGAAUUAGUGUUGUAUUUUCAUAAUUUCUUGGUCUGUAGACCGUUUUGCCUAUGGUGAAGGGUUGCAUUGGUAUGUGUCUGUCUUUAUUAUUGUACCAAUUCCUCUGUCUUUCAUUGCAUUUCGUACUAUCUGUAAUGUCUUCUUUCAUGACUUUCAAUUUAGUCUCGAUAAUCUUUGCUACUACUCAGUAAAGGAGAAAGGAGAACAAAAUGGCUCAAUGAUCUGUGUUGUAUUUUCAUAAUUUAUUUACAAGUUAGCAGUAAAAGGUUUGGUUAUAUGGAGAAAUAAUGUAUAGCAGAGUUGAAGGAAUGAUAUAAUGAAUUGAAACAUGGAACAAUGCAGACUGUAAAAGGGUACAUAUAGGUUGCUUUAAUUCCAAAAAUGGAAAUAGUAAUAUUCACUCCAAUUUAACCAAAAUAAACUUAUCAGAAUUCCAAGGUAACAAAACUGAUUAAUAUAAUAUACAGAAAUUAAUCAUAUAAAAAUUUAUAUUAUUACUUGAUAAUAUGAAUGACCAGUAUAAUAUAAAAGUAAGACAUGUUUUCUUUUCUUUUUCUAAAUUUAAUUUAGAACCAACUUUGAGUAAAGACUUGGGAAAUUGAAUUAGCAAAAUUUCUUUCCAUGUAGUUUUUUCUCCUAUUUCUUGUUUGAAUUUAGAGCAAUACAAAAUUUUGUGGCAAGUAAUAGAAAAUGACAGUCAAUUCAUUCCAAACAAUACAAAAUUUGCAGUGGAAUUCAUAUCUUUUAGGUAGCUUCAUUGAGGGCAUAAACAAGUUAGAAUUUGCAGUCUUAAUUUGUGUGGAAUUGAUAUGAAUGUAGUGGAUGCUGCAAAUUGUUGUUGAUUUGUGUGGAAUGACUGGACAUUCUUCUGCAAUUGUUAGAAAUUGGUGUUAUUAUUAUGGAGUUCAAAGGUUAAUAUUUGAUGCUUGCAGAUUUGAGGUGGAAUGUAGAUGAACUGAAGGCUGUUUUAACUUUUGUCUUAUAAGCUAUAUAUAAACAAAUAUUAUUUUAUCUUUUGCUUAUGAAAUGUUGAAAUAGUAAGUUUAUAUUCCUUGAUUAAUAAAAAGUGAGAUGGAGAUAGUCAAACCUCAAUUUCCACAUUGAAAUUGAAUCCAACCAUUCAUUGGUGGAUCGCAUAUCUUGUAUUUUGUCAAGUUAAAAGGGAGUGAAUAGAGCACCAUUUUCUUCUUCUGCGUGGAAAAUAAGUUGGCACUAUGCCAAAUUCCACAUUCAAACAUAUAAAGGAAGCAAGACCAAGUCAAUAUCAUCAACUCUAAUUAUUUCACUUCUUUCUUUAGGGAGUUCAAAUGGUGGCCCGGAAGGAGCGAAAAUGUCACCUAGAAAGAGGGUAUCACAUAUCAAAGCACGAAAGUCGUAAUAACAAUGUUAAAAACAAGGAAGAUUGAGCCAUCAACAGUGUUAUUGUGAAACCGGUCAUAAGUUAUCGCAAUACCCAAAACUCCCAAGUAUCCCCACGACUGUUGUGAAUAUCACGAUACCAAACUUUGGGUAUCACAAUAUCAUUGAUGAGAGGAGACAAAAUAUAACAGUAGGGGUAAUCCUUUUCCAACAUGUCCCCUAACCAAAAUUAGAUGAUCAAGGACAAUUUGGUCACUAUUUUUGGAUCUGUAAUUUGCUAGAAAGGGCAAAAAAUUGGCUGAACAAAAGGCAACACUUAACAUUUCAUGGUUUUCAAUUUUUCUCUUUAUUUUUAGAGUUUUAGUUUUCUUCUCCAUAACUCUAGGGUUUAAUUCAUGUUUUCUUUGAGUUUUUCUUGGUUCCAAUAAUAGUAGUUAGUUAAGUUAAUUAUCACUGUAGCUAGGAUUUAUUGGCUCGUUUAGUACCUUUAACUCUUUGUAUUUUCAGCUUAAUCCUUGGUUUUAAUAUAAAUAAAUUCCCUUCAUCAUUAAAAAUCUAUUUUUAGGGUUUUUUUUUACAUUUCCUUUGCUACCAUUGUAAUUGUUUUCAAGCUUUUCUCAUUUUUCUCAUGUUUUCUAGUUAUGCCUAUUUUGUGUGAUUGUUGUAUUUUUGUUUGUUUAAAUAUGAUUAUGGGUAACUAAAUCUGAAGUGAAAUUUGGCAUUAUGAAAAUGUCCAACAUUGCUUGUGGAUUAAUUCAUUAAUCCAUGUGUAUGUUUUAUUUAUUCAAAUGAUUAAUAGCUAACUUGAUCCUUAAAUUAUAGUUCAAAAAGUAUUUUUUAUAUUUUUAAAUUUUCAUAAAAAUAAUUGUAACAAAAUUUAAAAAUCUGAAAAUAAAUAAAAAUUUUAUAUAAAAAAUCAAUUGGUGCAAGAAAAAAAAAUUUCCAACUACUUUUUCCACAUCCAAUCUCAUAAAUAAUCAGUCUUUGAACUUUCACAAAAAAAUAUUAAAUACCCAUUUACUUUAAUUCUGCUCGUUUUUCAUUUGCUUUAUUGAUUUAUGCUCUCUUCAUAUUAUCUUUCUUUGCCUUUUUUUUUUCUUCCUUUUUCAUGUAGAUCUGCGUCGACUCUACUAUUCUUGGAUCAUUAUAAAUAUAAUAUAUGUUUUAUUUAUAGCUGAAAGUAAAACAUUGAGUUGAAAUUUGGCAAAAAAAAAAAACUGUGGGUUUGGAGAAGAAGAAGGGCACUUCAUAUUUAAAUUUAAAAAAUUUAAAAUUCCAAAAUCGAAAGUUAGUCAAAACCCUAAACAAUCUAAUAAUUGGGGUUGUAGAAAAGAAAUAUGGUUUUAGAAAUAAAUAAAACAAAAUAAAUUUGCAAAACAAUUUCUAGGCAAAACAGCAUUAAAUUAAGGAUUAAAAUAAUUUUUUUUUUAUAAAGCUUAGAGUGAAAUGAGUUUUUGGGAAACUGAAAAAAAAGUGAAAUGGGGAUGUUUGUACUAAUACACAUGGCAUUAUUGGACAGUAGACAAUAACUAAAAUGUUGCGUUAAUUUGUUUAUUGGACAAUCUUCUGCAAUGCUUAGAAAAUUUUAAUAUAUGUUUUAUUUUUAAAAUUUUAAAAUUUAAAAAUCAAUUAAUUGUUUGUAUGAUAUCGAUAUAUAUGUCUCGUCAAUAAAGUUAACAAAUGUUAAUUUUUUAAUCCAUUUUGGGAUGAUUAAAGAAGAAGAUGCAGUUUACCGGAUAGUUUUCUGGCAGCCAUACAUACUAAGUGAAUAGACACUCACAUUCUUUACGUAUUAUAAGGAAGAAGACUAAGUCAAUCUAUUUUGUAAUCUCAUCAAUGUUAAUUUUCUCAGUUGUUUAGGGAGUUCAAAUGAAAUACAAAAUUUUGGUAAAACAAUGUAUCCAAUUUUGGGAAUGAAAAAGAUAUGGUAAAAAGGAAGUGGUUGUUGAUGAGUAUUGAAAAAUAUAGGUUUUCAAUGUCAGCAUUUCAAACUCUUCCAAUAACAAUCUUUAUACCAUAAAAGAAACAACACUGUAACAGUGGUGUUGUGGUAUUAAUCAUCAGAUCUUUUGUUUAAUAUUGGAUUUUAUUUGUUGCCUAUAAAUACCAUUCCUAUCCUUCAUCUUCCUCUACAAACAUAACAUGGCCUCCUCUCUCUCUCUGCCUAUUCCUCUUCUUUCCCCAUCUUUAUGCUUCUUCUUCAGGAUCUCACUCCUGCUCUCACCUCGAAGCUGCUUCUCUAAUCCACUUCAAGAAUUCAUUUUCGAUCACUCAGACCGACCAUGCUGCUUUGUAUUGCGAUGAUUUUGCUAGCCUUAAAUCUUAUCCCAAGACAAAUUCAUGGAAGGAGGGUACAGAUUGCUGCUCAUGGGAUGGGGUCACUUGUGACCACCUAAAUGCUCAUGUUAUUGCCCUUGACUUGAGCUGCAGUUGGCUAUAUGGCACCUUCCCAUCCAAUACCACUCUCUUCCUUCUUCCUCACCUUCAAAAACUCAACCUUUCCUUCGAUGAUUUCAAUGAUUCCAAAACUCCAUCCGAGUUCGGUCGGUUUACAAGCGUAUUCUACCUCAACCUUUCUUAUACAUGGUUAAUUUGCUGGAGAAGUCCCAUCCCAAGUCUUCCACCUGUCAAAAUUGGUUUCACUUGAUCUCUCCUGUUGGGCUAAUGAACAAACAAUUGACAAACAUGCUGUGGAGGGACUUGUUCACAACCUAACCGAGGUCAGACAUCUGUUUUUGGAUGAAAUCAACAUGUCUUCUAUUAAUCCUCAUGUCUUCACGAAUCUAUCCUCUUCUCUAAGGUCUCUCAGUCUUUCUGGUUGAGAUUUGCAAGGAAAAUUCCCAAAAAAACAUUUUGAUUUGCCAAACCUCAAUUUCCUCAACUUGGGAGGCAACCAAAACCUGAAUCUUGAUCUUUUGAAGUUCAGCCGGAGCAGCAAUCUUGAACAUUUGGGUCUGUCGUGGAUAUCCUUCUCCACCGAAUUGAUUGAUUCAGUUGGUAAUCUACAGGCCUUAAAGUACUUAGAUCUAUCAGGCAAUUCUUUCUUUCAAAGAUUCUCUGUCUCAAUCACAAAUUUAUCAUCGUUAGAGUACUUGAUUAUUUCAGAAGCAAAUAUGUGUGGAGGAUUGCCUGACUCGAUGGGGAAUCUUGAAUCCUUGAAGUUUUUAGACUUGUCAUCGAACGAAUUGAGUGGACAAAUUCCAUUGUCAAUUCUAAACCUAACGCAACUUGAAUACUUGGAAAUAGCUAGAAAUUCAUUAGAAGGUUCCAUUCCAGAUGAAGUAACCGCUUUUCCUGAUCUAAUAUCUUUAAUCUUAAUUGAAAAUCUACUCAAUGGAAGAAUAUUGCAUUUCUUGACUUAAGCUCCAAUUUGAUCUGUGGAAAUCUUCCGAUUCCAGCUUCGACGAUCAGAGUCUUUCUGAUCUCAAAUAAUAGUUUCAAUGGAGAGGUCUCUUCUUUAAUAAGCAAUGCCAGUUCUCUUCGAAUUCUUGAUUUGUCCCACAAUAACUUGAGUGGAACAAUUCUGCAGUGUUUUGGAGAUUUGAGCAACUACCUUGAAUUCUUGAAUCUGAAUAAGAACAAGUUUUAUGGGACGAUUCCUCCAACAUUUGCAAAGGGAUGCCAAUUGAGUAAUUUUCAACUUAAAUGGAAAUAUGUUAGAAGGGCCUUUGACACCCUCCUUAAUUGUAAAGGUCUGGAAGUGCUAGAUCUGGGUAACACCAAGAUCAAUGAUACAUUUCCUCAUUGGUUGGGAAGUCUUCCUCAUAAAGAAUGAGACGGAUGAACACAGAAGCGGAUCAUAAAUUUUGUCUAAGUCGUGAAUUUGACUUAGGGCACUAGACGUUUGGAAAGAAAUUUAGAUUUUGACAAAACCUAAAAUAAAAUCAAAUCAAAAUUAAAUAAAUCAAUUAAAAUAAAUAACUAAAAUAAAAAAAUAAAUCAAAGAUUACAAAUAAUAAGGAAAGAAUAAAGAAAAUAAAUAGAAAGAUAAAAUGUAAGUCUUAAGAAGACUUAGAAACACGAAGAAUCCACAACCCCAUUCAAGCAGCUCUAAUUUCACCACCAAGAUAGAAAUCUUGGCAAGAAAAAGUUAGAAGAUUAUCCCCACAAUUUGAAAAGUUUGUUAAAACUCUUCUAAAAGAACAAGAGAAAUUCUUGAAAAAAAAAAACAAAGAGAGGAUUUAUUAACUUAAAGAGAAAUAGAAUAAUAAUGAAUUGUGUGAAUUGUGUACAAUGCAAAGGCCUAUAUAUAGGCUAGCUAAAUAAAUCUAAAUAAAAGUAUACUAGAACUCUAAUUUAAUUUAAACAAAAAGUAGUUUUAAACUAAAUUUUCUUGUUAACAUAAAAUACUUAAUAAUUAUAAAAAAUUUGAAAUAAAAUAAUAAUAAAAUAAUAAGAGCUGAUAAAUACAAUAUUGGGAUCAUAUAUAAUAAAAAUUAAGUCUAAAACCCGAACCCAAUAUGAUUUAAACUUGAAUUAAAAGCUCAAAAUUUGUAAUUCCUAUCGUAAUCCCGUUCAGAAAUUUUGCUCAUGCAGUUCUCAUUAAAAUUGUCAUAACUUGAGCUCCCUAACUCAAAAUCAAGUGAUUCAAAAUGCAUUUAGAAGCUAAGAGAUAUAUCUUCAAACACGAUGAGAUAUCUUAACUCGGAAAUUUCAAGAUCCUAUCCAAAAAGUCGUCACAAGUCUAUUAAUUUCCAAAGCCUAAAAAUUGGAAGCUUUGCUGAUUGGAAUUUAAUAAAUUUCACUCCAUCCAUGCAUGUAUCAUUCUCCUUUUCCUAAAAAAGAUUCAUCCUUGAAUAUUGUAUUUGAUCGAAUUCUGAUUUGAUUGCUUAGCCUUUGACAUUGUUGUUGGACCUUGAGGUACUGUAAACCCAUUACAUUCAUGGGUUUGAAAUUGUGCCUUGAGACUCACAUCAUUCCCCUUUUCCUCUAGAAGGUUCGUCCCUAAAUCUUUAGCUUUUUCCCACAAGUAAAAUCGUCUAUAAAUGAUAGAGUAAUAUAAUUGAGAGUCCAUUAAUGGAUCCUUGAAAUCCUGUAACAAAGAAACACCACUAAACAAAUUUAAGUUAGAGUUAGUUAAAACAUAAUCAUUCCUCAAUUUUUUAUGAGUAUUUUCUUGCUUUUUAUUUUCUUUUUUCACUUGAGAUCUCUCCAAUUUUACCUCAUAUGAAUUUUACUUACCAAAUUUGGACCAUUAAGUAGACUUUUAUCACUAAAGGUCUCUUUUCUCUCUGUCUUUCCACAUGAUUUUUCCUCACUUCUCAUGUCCCCCUCACAAGUAUUAUGAAUAUUCAAUUCAGUACAAUAUAUAUCAGUAGGAGAACAUUACGUUUCUAUUUCAUCUAACUCUAUAGAUCCAGGGAAAAAAAUUUCGUUAUCACUUUUUUCUAGUUCACAAAGUUCACCAUCUUCUUUGAUCAACGAAAGUCUCGUGUUGGCACAAUCACGACUAUAAUGUCCACUCCCUUUACACGUAAAACAUUCAAUGUUACAAUGUUAAGAGCUCUUUGUUGUUUUGGUGAAAAAUUAAUAGAAUUGAGUUGCUUGAAAGAUGUAGAAGAAUGUUUUGUAGGAGCCUCACUUUUCCACUCAAAAGGUUUAGUCUCAACAUGUUUUGGCAGCAACUUAUUAGUAGCAUAAGAAUGUUUCAAAUUCUUGAAAGUAGAAUUAGAACUUGUACCUCGAUAAUAGUGUGAUGCGCCAAAUGGACGAGAUUGAUGUUGCUGAGAUUGUUGCUCAAUCUCAAUUUCCUUGUGUCCUAUCUCCUCAAGAUCAAUGUAAGUUUGAAGAUUAAGAGCAUUGGCUACCAAAAUGUUCGCACCAUGGUAGUUUCUUCAUCCUCUUGUAUAUUUGCUCUUUGCAUAAACAUCUCCAUCUCCUUAAAAUAUUCAUCAACAGAUUGAUUACCUUGAAUAAGGCGUUGAAGUCUCGUUGAGAUCUCUCUCUAUUAAUGAGAAGGAAUGUAAUGUCUUCGCAUCAUUUGCUUCAACUUAUCCUAUGUUUCAAUUACCCUUUCGUGGUUUCUUUGACAAUCAAUUCCAAGUUGAGUCCACCAACUCAACGCAUAAUCUGAAAAUCAAAGGGCCGCCAAUUGAACUUUUUCCUCUUCCUAGCAUUUAUAGUAGCGAAACAUAAGUUCAAUUUUUGAUUCUCACUCACAAUAUGCUUCGGGAUCAUACUUUACACGAAAUGGUGAAAUGUUGAUCUUCGGUUUAGCUAAAAAAUGUUGCCUAUGGUCAUUAUUAACCAAAGUCUCGUCAUUUGCAUGAGAGACACGUUGAGCAUUAUUUGCAAAAAGACGAGGCUAAUCAUCCUUAUCUUCUCAAUUACGAUUCUGACACUCAAUUUUAGUAUGUAGACGUUCUAAAUUUUUGCUAAUUGUGUCUAGAAUAGUGUCACGUUACUGAUCUCUAGCAUUUUGAACCUCUUAAUCCCUUCUCAACUUCCUAGUCAUAGUAUUGUGAAACAUUAUGAAAGCCUAAAAAGAACACAACACUCAAGAAAGGAAAAAUUAAGCAAACCUCACUGUUAUGCACUCAGAAAAAAAAAACCAAAUUCUCAAUGAGGUUAGAAUUAAUCUUGUGAGUCUUUUAAAAAGUGUCUAUAUCAAUUAGUCAGAAUGUAUUUGAAUCAAACUAUCAAAGCAAACUUAAUAGCAUUAUGAGUCAAUGAAAAUUGUUGAAACUCGAAAACCUGAAAAUUUACGAAGCAAAUUGACAAACUCCUUUUGAGGUGUUUCCAAUUUCCAAAAAUCACAAAAUUUAAAUUGGAACCUUCUAAAAUAAUGUAGAUUUGACCUGGAAAGUUUUGGCACAAAAUUCAACCCAUAGAAUAUUUUUUUAUUUUUUAUUUUUUUCAUAUUUUAUUUUAUUUUUUCACUUUUUCAAUCACUUUUUUUGUGGGAAAUACUUUUUUAUACUCUAAAAUAGUGUCAAGAAAUAGUAUGUAAAAUUUGAAAUCAUUUGAAAAUCAUUUACCGACAAAAAUAUUUUUUUUCAAAAACUGUCGGGGUAAAAAAAUUAUUUAAUUUGAGUCUGUUUCCCAGAAAUCAGUUUAUAAAAAUGAAAAGAACACCUAAAACGUCCACAUCUGAUACCAAAUGAUAAAGAAUGAGAUGGAUGAACAUGGAAGUGGAUCGUAAAAUUUGUCAAAGUCAUGGACUUGACUUAGGGCCCUAAAUGUUCGAAAAGAAAUUUAGAUUUUGACAUAACCUAAAACGAAAUCGAAUCCAAGUAAGAUAAAACAAAAUUUAUACAUGUAUAUUUUUUACACCAUAACAUAUAUAAGAUAUAAAAAUGGUAAAUUUAUAUUUGCAUUAUUGGUUUUGGUCAUUUUCUUGAAGCAGCUUGGAUCAGUGAUGUGAUCCCUUAGCACCCAAAAAAACCCAAUUAGACCUUUACCCAUUAGCCUAUCUCAACUUCCUCUUCAAUCCAGCACUCAGUCUACCCCAUGCCAGAAAACAUUUACAAACAUGGUUCCUCUUGCAUCCACACAAAUUUAAUGAAAGUUAAAUAUACAAAAUAUAAUAACUAAAUUUUUGAACAAGUGAGGAUUUUCUAUCCUACCAAACACUCUUCAGUUCCUUUAUUCCAUGGAAGCAUCUUUUUAGUUAUUUUUCCCCCCUUGGCAGCUAAUUCAAAGUUUCAACUUGAGCAGUUCUUAAAAGGAAAAUGUCAUUCCCCAUAGGUCUUUGCUAGAGGCAGGUAGAGGAGGCAAUGUUUUUUGGGCAUGGAGUAGCUUGUUAAAGAGGAGAUAUCACAAGGCAAAUUAUAUGUGUAUGAGAAUGAAACAGAGAAACAUAUAUGUAAAUAUGGAGUGAAAACUUGGUUCCAAAUCAGAUAAGGCAAAAGCCAAAUCAUGUAGGAUUGGUGGAGAGUGAACCUUUGAAGCAUUGUAUGUGGCCACCCACGUAGUCUACUAUUUAUGUUAUGUCACGACAAAAACAGCAUCCUCCUUUGUCUUUGAAAUUCGACAUUACUAAUGGAGUUCUUUUUGCACACAUGCAUUCUAUUUAUUAUUUUGAAUACAAUUCUAAUCUAGAUUUUUGGCUUUACAUUUUUUUAUUUAAUCAUCAAGUAGUCCAUGUUCUUUAAUUUUUUUUUAAAAAACUAAGUUGCAUUUCCUUUUUUUUUUUAAAUGAACGAUAUAUUGAAAUCAUUAUUGAAAUUAUAAUCAAAAUUAAUACAUGUUCUUUUUAUUAGCUUAAGGGCGUAAAAACCCUUCAAAAUUUUUAAAAAAAAAACAAGAACAAUAGCUAAGGGACCCGAUACUACCACUUGGAUCUGGAACCUACAUGCCGAUGCUCACGAUUUCGAUAGCCAUACCUGUGAUUUGGAGGAGAUCUCUCGCAAAAUAUUUAGUGCCCAUUUCGGCCAACUCUCCAUCAUCUUUCUUUGGCUGAACGGCAUGUAUUUCCAUGGUGCUCGUUUUUCCAAUUAUGAAGCAUGGCUCAACGAUCAUACUCACAUUGGACCUAGCGCCUAGGUGGUUUGGCCAAUAUAUAGUGGGCCAAGAAAUCUUGAAUGGCGAUGUGGGUGGGGGUUUCCGAGGAAUACAAAUAACCUCUGAUUUUUUUCAGAUUUGGUGAGCAUCUAGAAUAACUAGUGAAUUACAACUCUAUUGUAGAAAAAAAAUUUAAGUCCCCCUUUUUUUUACACUUAAUUGAGCAUUCAAACUUUUUAAAUGUAUCAAAAAUAUCUUUACACUUCUUAAAAAAAGCAAUUAAAUUCCUAUUUUUUUCUGCUCAAUUGGGUACUUGAACUUUCAUAAUGCAUCAAAAAGAUCUUAAUUUUUUUUUCAAAGAAACAAUUAAGCCUUUAUUUUUUUUCCCACUCAAUUGGGUACUUGAACUUUCAUAAUGCAUCAAAAAGGCCUUAAAUUUUUUUCAAAAAAGCAAUUAAGCCCCUUCUCUUAUUAAAAAUUAGAAAAAAAUAUCAUAAAAAUAAAAAAAAUUUAGAAAAAAUUACUAAAUUUUAAUACAAAUUUAAAAAUUAUUAAAAAUUAGAAAAAAAUUUUAGAAAAAUCAUCAAAAAAAUAAAAAAAAAUUAUAAAAUUUUAUAAAAAUCAUAAAAAUAUAAAAUCCAUCAAAAAGUCCUUUUAACAAUUAACUUUAACUAUUGGUCGUUAAAGUUAACAACCUCUAGUUUUUUCAAUUAAAGUCAUUAUGUCUCGCAACUCAGCGUGACAUGUAGCGAAAACAGAUAAAAAAGUAAAAAUCAAUAAAAGUUAUAGAAAAAUUAUCAAAUAUUUCUUUUGGUACAAUAAUUUUUAUAAUUUUUUUUUACAAAAUUUAUAUUUCUUUACAUUUUGUAUAAUUUUCUUAUGACUUUAUAAAAUUUUAUAAUUUUUUUAUAAUUCUAUAUAUUUUUAAAAUUUUUUUAAAAUUUUUAUAAAAUUUCACAAUUUUUAUAAAUUUUUUAAUAAAUUUUUAAUAUUUGAAUGUUUUAUAAAAAUUUAAUAAUAUUAUAGAUUUUAUUGAUUUUAAUUUUUUCUCUAAUUUUUAAUAAAAGUAGGGGCUUAAUUGCUUCUUCUUCUUUUUUUUAAGUUUGAGAGUGUUUUUGAUGCAUUUUGAAAGUUCAAGUACCCAAUUGAGUGCAAAAAAAAAAGUAGGGGCUUAAUUGCUUUUUUUGAAAAUGUUUGAGGGCCUUUUUGAUGUAUCAAAUGAAAUACAAAUUUUGAGUAAAUCAGGUACUCAUUUUUAUGAAUAAAAAUUAUAUGAAAAGGAAGUAGUGUUAAUAAUAAUAAUAAAAAGAUCAACAAUAGAAAACUAAUAAAGUAAUUUAGCCUAUGAUCUGUGCAAUAUAUUACUACAAAUGUACCGUACAAAAUAUUGAAAGAAAACUAAUAAAGAAAUCUGAAAUUUUAACAUGUUCCGCAAAUAAUGUUUAUGAUUUGCUGUAAAUUGAUAUGUCAAAUUAGGCUCUCCAUCAUACUUAAAAUUUUAUUUUCGAGCAAUUUAGAUAUCUUUGUUGCGUUUUUAUUUUGUUUUAGUUCUUUAUAUUAAUAAAUGAUUAGUGUGCAUUUUGAUGCUAUUUUAAGACCUGAGAUGGCCAAAUGGCACCCGGGGAAUCUAAUGAGGUUGGUGAGUGAUGCAGAGAGCCCAUGGUGGCCCGGAAGGAGCGAAAAUGUUACCUAGAAAGAGGGUAUCGCAUAUCAAAGCAUGAAAGUCAUAAUACCCAUAACAAUGUUAAAAACAAGGAAGAUUGAGCCAUCAACAGUGUUAUCGUGAUACCGGUCAUAAGAUAUCGCGAUACCCAAAACUCCCAAGGAUCCCUAAGACUAGAUAUCGCGAUACCAAACUUUGGGUAUCACAAUAUCAUUGAUGAGAGGAGACAAAAUAUAACGGUAGGGGUAAUCCUUUUCCAACAUGUGGAAUGGCCAUGGGAUGUGCUGUUUUCCAAACCGGUAAGGCGAAAAGGUUGGUGAAUUUGGCUGAAGACCAACAUGAGAAGAGGCGAAGAAGAAAGCCAAAAUAUAGCAAUCGCAUCAAUGGAUGAAGAAGGAUCUAGUUGGUUCAAAUGAAGUUAAAGCAUUUCUGCUGUGUCUUCAUAAUUUCUUGUUUAGUAGUCUGUCAGAAAGGUUUUCCUAUGGUGAAAAGUUGCAUUGGUAUGUGUCUGUUUUUAUGAUUGUACCAAUUCCUCUGUAAUUCAUUGCAUUUCGUACUAUUUGUAAGGGUUUAGUUCGAGUGUAACAUCUUGUAUGGUGCAACUAUGUAUGUCUUCUUACUUGAAUUUCAAUUUUUAGUAAACAUUAUACUGCUAUCACCAUAAAAAAAAUACAUGUAGAAUUACAAAAGAUUCAAUUAUUCAAGUUUGAGUUGCAUUUAUAAACAUGUGAUGAUGAGAAUUCAUGAACAAAAGGUAUGGUUUGAGCCCUUUCGCCGUAUGCGUUUAUGUUGCAUUUACCUAUAUAUCUAUCGACAAAUUUAAGAGUAAUAUUUACAAUAGCAUUGCAGAGUAACAUAUUUAAGAUUGGAUUACACUAUCAAAAGAUUGCAGCAACGAUGAGAUUAAUCCAAUUACAAGAAUUGAUAUCCUAAAUGGCUUUUAGGUACGUAGCUUCAUUGACGGUACAAACGAGUUAAAAUUUCCAGCAUUCAUGUCUUUGUUUUCCCUCAAGUAAACGUAGUCAAUACUGCAAAUGGUGUGGAAGUAUUGUACAUUGUGGCCCAAAUGUCCAAAAUUUCCACAUUGCUUGUAAAUUAAGUGAUGAAAACCAAAACUGUUUGAGGCAUCCAAUUACCCACAGAGAUAGGAAGUAAGGACGCAUGUAUAAUUAUUACCAUUAAUUAAAGCAUAUAUAAUUACAUUAAAUAUAUCACUUUUAUUUACCUCAUAUUACAUUUUAGUCACUUAUACUUGAAAUGUUACAUUUUGGUCACUUACAUUAUCGUUUUGGUACGAAGUGGUCACUCUACCGUUAAGCUCUGUUUCCUCCCUAAUGGCGAUUCUACGUGAUAGUCCAAAUGGGUUUUAAAUGCCAACUUAAAUGUUUUGCGUGGCUAUCCAAAUUAAAUUUAUUUAAUUAAAAACCUAUUUUCAUCUCAGCAACCGGACAUUCAAGUUCGCAUUUAAAACCCAUUUAGACUGCCACGUAGGACUGCCGUUAGGGAGGUAACGGAGUUUGACAGUAGAGUAACCACUUCGUAACAAAACGGUAAUGUAAGUGGCUAAAACGUAACAUUUCAAACAUAAGUGAUUAAAAUAUAAUAUAAGGUAAACAAACCUUAAAUAUAUAAAUUACUACGAUUACUAUCAAGAUAGCAUUGACCUGUUCAACAGGCGGAACCAAUAGAUCUAACCAUUUGGUGACUCUAGCAGUCGACAAGUGUGAGUGGCAGAUUGUGCAACUUGUGGCAAUAGCAAAUGGUUCCAAGACGAGGUGGGACACGGAGGCUUUGUGUAACAGGGGAAUAGAUGCACUCAAUGCUGGCGGCUGUUGGCUUGUAUUUCUCUCUAACAAUUUAAAUCACCAGCUUGCUUCAUCCAUCUAUAAAUAAGGGUCUUCUUCAGUUUCAUAAAUGCAUAGAAAAUUAACAAGCUCAAAUUCCUUCUUUUCAUAUUCAUCUCUUUCAUUUUGAAUUGCAACUUUAUCCUGCCUAAAUUCCUCAACAAUGAACCACCCAUCAGGACAGCCUCAAAAUGAACUUCCUUGGUCCGCCGGAUUCUGAGAUUGUUGCUCUGACCUGAAAACUUGUAACCCUUUCUUCUUUCUUCAAUAUCAGUUGUGUCUUUUUAAUUAUAUGAAUUAGUUUAUCAAUUAAAUAUAUGGACAUUUCAGGUUGCAUUUCAUACUGGUGCCCAUGCAUCACCUUUGGCCAGAUUGCUGAGAUUGUUGAUAAAGGGUCGACUUGUAAGUUAUUAAUUUCUAAAUUGAAAUCUUAUCAUCUUAGGUUUGCAGACAUAUAUAUAUUUAAAGAGAUAUUAUGUAAUUAAUAAUAAUGUUGAAAAACACUGUUGGAUGGUGCAGCAUGUGGGGCAAGUGGGGCAGUAUACACAUUAAUAAUGUUCAUCACCGGGUGUGGGUGCUUAUAUUCUUGCUGCUACCGAUCCAAACUGAGAAAGCAGUAUAACUUGAAAGGAGG